CCACAUUGCCAACAAGACUGCCCCCUCUACCAAGCAUUCCCUCAGUCCCCACAAUCCCAACUGCAAUUCCCCCUAUUCCUUUCUCUUUUCCACCAUUGCCAUCUUUCCCUAAUCUCCCAAACCCUGGGGCACUUCCUCCACUUCCUACCACAUUGCCAAGAGGACUGCCCCCUCUGCCAAGCAUUCCUUCAGUCCCCACAACCCCAACUACAGUUCCCUCUAUUCCUUUCUUUUCUCCACCACCUUCUCAAUCUACUCCUUGAAGUACCCCAUUUUUUUUAUCUGCUGCAACUGGAUCUGGUUUAAUAAGGUUUUUAGUCGUCUUUGUGUCUUUAUUAUGAGUAUUGAUUUUUCCCACUUAUAUUUGUUUGUAUAAAUAGGACUUCUCCAAUUCCCAUUAUUUGAUGUACUUUGAUACGUUGUUGCUUAUUAUAUAUGGGGUAUUUAUAUAUUGAUGUUUUUCCAUGAAGUAAUUAAUUACUGUUAUGAGUUUGGCUAAUUAAGAAAAGAAUCAAAAAAAUGCAGUCAAGAUAAUGAGCAGCCAUACAUCGAGAAGAUGCCUUUGUAGAUAUAAUAAUUCCUGCUUCAUUAUCUCUUUGAAGUUAUCCAUUUACAUAUACGAUUACUUUCCUCUUUUAAUAUAUUUCCAAGAUAAUAUUUUAUAUGAAUGUCUUUAAAUUCGGGUAGUCAGUUUUAUAUAGAUUUCGGUUAUACUAAUUUGUGUGCAUUGUUUUAAUUUUAUAUCAAAAUAUUAAUGUUUUUGAAAUUAAAUCGAUAAUCAAAUCAAUUAAUUCAUCAAUUUUUGAUUCAGUAGAUUCAACCAUCGAUAUAAUUAAUUUACUAUUCAACAAUAUAAAAUAAUAUUAAUUAUUAAAAACCCCAAACUCCUCUAUUUUUAAGGCUUUGAAUUUUAAAAUCCUCUCCCCAUCUUUGAUCUUUCCUAAUUUAUCUUCUUUUUUCCCUUUGAUUGAAUGUUAUAUGUCCAUCUUAGUUUUUCACCAGCAAAAAAAACUUAUUUCAGUAGAAAAAGUAAGAAAAGAAAUGGUGGUUAUUUUUUUAUGUUAGUGUUUUAUUUCAUUGAGUGCAGAAAUGAAGUGUAACAAUAGCUCAAGGGAUUUGAAGUGAAAUUUUUAUUUUUUCGAUUUAGAAAAUGUGAAAAUACGGCUUAAUCGACUAAUGAUUUGCAGUUUAACUGCAGUUUACUCUAGUUCUCGUGCUCAUUGGUUCUUAUUCUGUUUGGUUAGGUUCUAAUAACAUUGAGAAACACCUAACCCCAUUUUUCUACACUAGUGAAAAUUUUGGUCUAUAACACCCUAAACUCGACCUAGGCGUUCAAAUCAAGUUGGAGACUCACAUCAACCGUUCUAAAAGCCAUACCACUAUAACGCAAUCAAAUUAGACAAGUCGCCACAUAUUAUUCAUCACAAUAGUAAUUUAAAGACAUAAUCUUCAUAAAUCAAUAACAUCAUAAAACAAAUAUCCGUAAUAAUAAUGCUAGCAGAAUAUCAAUAAGUGUCUAACCAAGCUUCCGUGACACCGUUCCGAUCAAGACUGAUUACCAUCUGAAACCCAAACAAUAACAGGGUGAGUUUCAAGCUCAGUGCGUAAAAAGGAAUGUGAUUCAACAACGGUGACUUAUGGAGAAUAUCCAGUUCAGAGAUUCAGUUCAUCCUUGAAGCCUGUUUGAUCUAGGCUCAGAGCAGAGGUAUUACAUAUGUAUACAUGUAUUAUUCCAGUUCAAAUAUAGUUCAGAUCAGAUUCAGAUGCAAUGUUUCUAUUUCUAUCCUCUACACACCACUAUGGACAUUUAAUGCCCAUCUAUCUCUGUACAUCUUUAAAGUGUUCAAUGACACUUUCACAAAAAUGUAGCGUAGCUGCUAGUUCAAUGUGCGACAAGCGCUAGAAUCAAAGUGAUACUUAUUGUGGCAUAGCCAUGUUUUCAGUACAGACUCACCUUCUUCCUCACAAUCUCCCACCACAUGUUAAUGCGUAAUACAAUAAUCCGUAACACAUGUUUAACCAUUCUGAUAAAAUACAUAAUUAAUAAAAACCGUUCAAUAACAAAGUGGUGUUACAGUCCAUAUUCAAGAAUGUGAUUCACAGAUCAGUCUCAUGUAAGCAAAUUUAGUCAUUCGUAAAUCAAGGAAACCAAUAUUAGAGUUUAGCACCCUUCUCAGCCUCAAAAACAGUUCUCGGAUCCAACAUCCUGCCUCACGGCCUGGGCCCAUGCCCGUGCGCCUUAGCCGUGUGGUUUUUACACCUCAAACAGUGACUUACAUGGGGCAAAUGUCCAUGUCCCUGGCCAUGUGAACCCUGCACUAAAAUGGCCACACACGGCCUGAACACACGCCUUUGUGGUCGUCGGUGUCUUCUUAAUUCAAUAAACAGUGAGUUACACGGCUGUUCACACGGCCUCCACACACCCGUGGGACACACAAUGCCUAGUCAUACACCCGUGUACCUGUUGUGUGGCGUUGACAGCCAUCAUUUUCGAUGAGAAAACUAGCAAAAACUAAGGCUUCCAUUACGUACCUGAGACAAUUUCAAAGUAGUGACAAUAAAGAGAAUUUUUGAAACCUAAAACUACCAUUCAAUAACUCAAUCAAUCAAGUUUAUCAACAACAAUGCACAAUUAUACUCAAAAUACCUAUGUCAAAAGUUUUGACACCAACUUCCAAAAAAAUCAAUACUUACAAAAAAUUAACAACGAUUACUCGAAUUGACUUGCUGAGGUUCACUGUUUUCAAUAUCCCCGCCUAACAGGGAAACCAAACGAUUAACUAUCAGAGAUUCACGCAACAAACUCAAACAACCAUCUCAAAGUAUAAUAUGUAAAGAAAAAAGAGAAAACCUAAAAUUUAACGAAUCGACAUCAAAACUUACUCAAUAACCUCCCAAAAUAAAAUGCUAACAAUGUAACUUCAACCUAAAAUUUAACGAAUCAACAUCAAAACUUACUCAAUAACCUUCUAAAAUAGAAUGCUAACAAUGUAACUUCAACUAGUCCGUAUUCCUUACGACAAUUAAAGAGGAAAAGGGAAAAUUGAAAAAGAAGAAAAAGUAGAGAAGGAAGAAAAAAAAAAGGGAAAAAUGAAAAACAAUAGGAAAGAAAAACUAACGUUAAUUGAUUAUCAAUUAACUUCCAUUCAGACUUCCAACAUUUAGCAAAAAUAUUUUCCUUACGCAUACAAAGAAUUGAACUUAAGCGAACCAUCAGGCUCAUUCUUGUCACCAUUUUACAAAGAAUUGAACUUAAGUGGGUAGUGCUUGUUUGCGGGUUGGUUCUAAAACAACAAAACUUUUAAUAAUGCGACUCGAACUUCAGACCUUAAACUCAAUCACAGAUUACAAAACCAUAGAUACAAAAAUUAGUUACUGUAUAUUUUCAUAAACAAGUUCUUAAAAUUUUGGGGCAUUACAACUCUCUCCCCCUAAAGGAAAUUUUGGCUCGAAAUUUUUACCUAAGUCAAACAGAUACAGAUAUAGCCAUCGGAUAGAUUCCUCCGGCUCUCACGUGGCUUCCUUAGUACUGUGAUUCCGCUAGAGGACCUUCACUAGAGGAAUAGUUUUCUUUCUCAGUUUCUUAAUGUCACUUUCUAAGAUCUGAAUAGGCUCUACCUCGAAUGUCAAGUCUGGUCGUAAUUCGACCUCGUCAAUCGUAACGAUAUGUGACAAAUUCAAUCGGUACCGUCUCAACAUCGAGGCAUGAAACACAUUAUGAAUUCAAUCCAGCUCCGAUGGUAACUCUAACUUGUAAGCAAUAGGUCCAACUUACCUUAAGAUACAGUAAGGCCUUAUGAAUCUCGGGCUUAGCUUUCCGUUACGUCCAAAUUGGAGGAACUUUUUCCAAAUUGAUACCUUUAGAAACACUUGAUCACCUAACGAAAACUCAAUAUCCUUCUUUUUUAAAUCUUCAUAAGACUUUUGUCUAUUAGACAUGGCUUUCAAUCGAUCCUGAAUUACAUUCACAAUGCUCUCGAUUUCAGAAACCAGCUCAGAACCCAAUAGACGGCGUUCACUCAACUCCAUCCAACAUAACGGAAUAGGGUACUUACGACUAUAUAUAGCUUCGUAAGGUGCCAUCUGAAUACUAGACUGAAAGUUAUCAUUGUAAGCAAACUUCGUUAACGGUAGAUACUCCUUCCAACUACCUCUGAAGUCUAUCACAAAACCCCGAAGCAUAUCUUCUAGAAUCUGAAUGACUCGUUCUGACUGUCCAUCGGUCUGAGGGUGAUAUGUAGUACUAAACUUAAGUCGAGUGCCUAAAGCCUCAUGAAGUUUCUUUCAGAACCGAAAGGUAAAUCGCAGAUUUCUACAAUGAAUAAUCCAUUCGGAUAGCAAUGAAAUGAGCCGAUUUGGUCAACUGGUCAACUAUAACCCAAACUGAAUCCUUUUUAGCAGGAGUUAAGGCAACCCUGUAACAAAAUUCAUUGUUAUCCGCUCCCAUUUCCACUGCGAAAUCUUUACCAGUUGAAGCACUCCAGAGGGCAACUAAUGUUUGGCUUUAACCUUUUGACACGUAAAAUAGUAGGACACAAAAGUGACUACCUCCCGUUUUAUGGCAAGCCACCAAUAGAGUUCUCGGAGAUCCUGGUACAUAUUAUUUCCACCAGGAUGCAUAGCAUAUAGGCUAUUGUGUGCCUCCUGUAAAAUCGAGUGCCUUAAUUCUUUGUCAUUAGGUACACAUAUCCGACAUUUGAAGCAUAACACAUUAUCGGUAUUCAAGCUAAAAUCAAAAUUCUCGUCUGAGCCAACAUGUUGCAAUCGCUGUAUUAAGGAUUCGUCGUUUUGUUGUUUAGCUCAACUUUACUCUAUCCAAACCGGUUUCACCUGGAGUUCAGCUAACAACCCUCCAUCCUCAACCAAACUCAAACGAGCUAACAUUGCUCUCAGAUCUGCCACUGCUCUAUGGCUAAGGGCAUCAGCUACCACAUUAGCCUUACUUGGAUGAUAUUCUAUGGUGCAAUCAUAAUCUUUUAGUAACUCGAUCCAUCGGUGCUGACGAAGGUUCAACUCUUUUUGGGUUAACAAAUAUUUGAGGCUAUUAUAAUUAAUGUAAAUAAUACACAUUUCACCAUACAGAUAGUGCCUCCAAAUUUUCCAAGAAAAUACAACCUCAGCUAACUCAAGAUCGUAGGUGGGGUAAUUACCCUCAUGUGUCUUCAUCUUCUACGAUGCGUAACCAACUACAUUACCAUCUUCACUAAGCACACAUCCUAACCCAACAUGUGAAGCAUCAUUGUAAACCAAAAUUGAACCAAAACAGGAGCUUGUGUCAGAACGGACUUGAGUUUAUCGAAACUAGACUACUGUGCCUCAGACCACAUGAAUGGAGUAUUCUUAUGUAAUAGCUUCAUCAAAGGUGAUGCAAUCAGAGAAAACCCUUCGACGAACCUUCGGUAGUACCCAAAGAAACCAAAGAAGCUACAAAGUUCGGACGCGUUUUUUGGCUGUUUCCACUAAAAAACAGCUUUAAUUUUCUUGGGAUCAACUUGCAUCCCUUCCACCGUCACCACAUGACCCAAAAAGGUGACCUCCUGCAACAAAAACUCACACUUGUUGAACUUAGCAUACAACUGUUUUCCUCGCAGUAUCUGAAGUACAAUACGAAGAUGACCAUCGUGCUCAAUUUUAAUUUUAGAGUGGAUCAAAAUAUUAUCAAUAAAAACCACUACAAAUUUAUCCAAAUACGGUUGAAACACCCGAUUCAUUAAUUCUAUAAAUGCCACCGAGACAUUUGUUAAUCUGAAAGGCAUUACCAAAAACUCGUAAUGUCCAUAACAAGUUCUGAAAGUAGUUUUGUACACAUCAGUCUUUUUGACCUUGAGCUUAUGGUAACCUGAACGUAGGUCAAUUUUUGAAGAGACGUACGCUCCCCGAAACUGGUCGAACAAGUCAUUAAUCCUUGGUAACGAAUACUUAUUCCUGAUCGUCAACUUGUUCAACUGCCUAUAGUCAAUACACAUCCUCAUCGGCCCAUCCUUCCUCUUAAAAGACAAUAUCGGUGCCCCCCACGAAGACACACUCGGUCGAAUAAAUCCUCUAUUAAGGAGUUUCUGAAGCUGUGCUUUUAAUUUAGUCAGUUCUUUCAACACCAUAUGAUAAAGCGCAAUGGACACUGAAGCAAUACAUGGUAACGGAUCAAUUCUAAACUCCAUAUUUCUAUCCAGAGGUACUCCAGGCAAUUCCUCGGGAAAGACAUUUGGGAAUUCUCUUACGGUACAGAUAUCUCCUAUUGACAACUUUUUGGAAGCAGAAUCGGAUACAUAAGCUAGGUAUGCCUUACACCCCUUUCGGACCAAUUUGUUUCCUGGUGAAGUAAUCUCGACGCUCUCCAACCAUUACCACCUUGUCAUUCUCAAUCAGUUUCAGAGUAACUCUUUUGGUUGUACAGUCUAAACUGACCCAAUAUUCAACGAGUCAAUCCAUUCCCAGAAUUAAAUCAACCUCGUUAAAGGGCAAUCCCAUUAAAUCAGCUGGAAAUAUCAUACCCUGAAGCUCUAAGGGUACUCUUCUAUAUACUCUAUCGACUCGAAUUAACUGACCUAACGAACUAACCAUAGAAAACUCUCUAGCAAUAUUCUCAGCAGUUAAACCCAGAGUUACAGAAACAACACUAGCUAUGUACGAAUGAGUAGAGACAAUUUCAAUAAGAGUAUAAUACGGUACAAAGUGGAUAAAGAAGGUACCUGCAAUGACAUUAGCAUUAUUGCUUUCCUCGCGACGUCUAGUCAUAUAAACCAGUACCGGUUGACGAGCCUCAACCUAACCAGCACAUUUACCCGGUGUUCACUGUCCUCUCCUAACUUAGUUACCACCAUCCCUAUCAGUACCACGACCUCUAAAAGGUUGCUGAGUCUCUCUCGGAGGUCUAACAGAGUUUAGGGCCGAAGUCUGUAUGACACCUAGCUCUGAAUUAGGUCAACAGGAUCGAACCACAAUAGAGGCACGCUCUUAAUUUCCUCUAGCAUUUGCCCUGGUGGCGCUUCCUACAAUCAGUACACUGCUGAAUCUCUGUCACUACAACUGGUGUCCCGACCCUUGGAGACAUGUCAAACCUCACCCGCUUCUUAGGGCGUUGAGCAGAACUAGAGGGACUCGAAUCCCUCUUAAGUUUAUUCUGAUCCUUCUUACAAUCGCGCCGUUCACACUCAAUGCACUUCACUUCUUUUACUAUUUUCACUUUAUCAACCAAAAUCACGAAUACCCGCUCCUUCAGAGGAGCUAUCUAAACCCACAGAUCAUAUCUCAAGCCUUCUUCGAGCCUCACACACUUGUUGUAGUCAAACGCUACCAAAGUCCAUGCAUAUUUUUUCAAGAGUAGAAACUCGGCUUCAUACUCAGCCACAGAUCGGUCACCCUGAACUAGACUCAAAAACUCGCAUCGGUGAGCCUCAACAUAGCUUACCCCCACAUACUUACCCUUGAAGGCAUUCUUGAAAUAGUCUCAGUUUACUUGCUCAUGCUGAGCACCGUGCUCAACAGUUAGCCAUCACUGAUAAGCUUUGUCUUGGAGUAGAGACACUGCGCCCCUCAAUUUUUGAGUAGGAGUGUAGUCAAAAUCUAUCAUAACACGUUCGGUAGCCUUGAGUCAAUACUCAGCAAUAGUAGAGUGAUAUGACUGAGCCCCGAGACUCAUCAAGGGAUGACAAGGAACCUUUGAGGCUGCCCUUUGGACUGAUAACUCAAGCUCGAGCCAAAAGAUUCAAAGAGGCUGUUCCAGCUUUAGCUGAUCGAGUAUGGAGAGCAAAUGUUGUUGGGCUCAUUGAAUGAACAUGGACAAGUCACCCGAGCAAGCCUUGCAACCUUCUACAAGCCCAUCUUGUUCAUUCAUAGCCCAUUGAGCUCAACCCCAACUUGUUUUUAACUUAGCAAUAUUUUGUUGCUAGAAAUAAGGAUUUCAAUCCAUUUUAGUUAUUCUAGUUUUUUCUUUAAUUAUGUCACAGUUUGAACAUCAUUAAUAUGUGUUCUGCAUUUAAUAAAGUCAUGCAUUAUGUAACUUUCAUGUUAGUUAAGUUUGCAUCAUUAAAUUAAGUCAUGCAUUAAGUAACUCAUUUGUUCAUUUAGUUUACAUCUUAAUUAAAUUAUGCAUUUAAACAUCUUAUUUGUUUGUAUUAGAGUGUUAUUUAAUUUGGCUGUUACUUUUUCAUAAGUUAUAGUGUGUUUAAUUGUUCUUAAAUAAAAUUAAUUGUGUGUUCAAUUUUUGUUGUAGGAAAGUUCAAAAGGCUGGACACAUAUUUUAAAGCUACAAUAGGGUUGUUCAUUUGCCAAGAAGAAUCAAAUGCUGUCACAUUCAAAUGGUUGUUCAAUUUUGGCAUAAAAGAGUGUACAUUUGGUCACUUAAUUAUUGGUACAAAAAGGGAACGUUUUUGCUCGAUAUUGAAGCACUAAAAGCUCAUUAUGGUGGCUUUUCAAAUAGACCAAGAGUGUCUCCACAAGUCUGAUCAGUUUUUGGAGUCUUUUUCCUUCAUUAUGAUGCCAUUAAAAGAGGAAGUUACACAAGCUUUAUGAUUCGGUUACAAGGGAGUUGAAGGGACAUCAACUAAGUAUAAUAAUGACACAUUAAGUCUUUAUUAAUGGACAGAGUCAUGCAUUUUCAUCUACACCAGGAUCAAAUGAAGAGACAUGACCAUUGGAUUUCUUACAUGAGUUAAAAAUGAAAUUAGGGUUUGUAAUAACCUUAGUUAAUUGCUGAAGGUGAAAGGUCACAAAUAGGCAUUCGAAUAGCCAUAAUAGUGCCUAUAAAUAGAUUGUAAAAAAACAUUAUUUUGGUUAAGAAAACUUUUUAUACUUUUAUGAAUUUUACAUCUUUGUGAGUAUAAUUCAACUCUCAUUGUUUUUCUAAGACUCAAGCUGACUUAUCUAGCAUUGCUAGUGGCAUCCAACUUACUUUCUUUGUGAACUUAUCACUCUUUGAGUGUAGCGUUCAACCUAGAUACCUUUGGUUCCUAUCUCCUUAUAGAUAAUGAGUCAACGUCCUUUUAAACCAUCAAUCUUUCGACCUUAAAAGUCAAUAUAAGAUUCAGGUCAAUACUCCUUAUAGUAUUGGUUCUUUCUUGGACCUUAACCUUUUUCCAUCCAUCCGAAUUAUUCUUUUCAAAGUUAUCUUAUUUUUCUUUGUUUAACUGAAACAUUCACUUUGACUAUUCCAAAACACUUAAAAACCAUCUUUUCUUUAGCCUACACUUAGUCGAGUUCACUCAACUCCAAAUUGAACAAAACUUCUCUAUUUUAUGAUCGGGCAAAAUUACGACUCGAAAUCAACUCACGAGAUAAGAUUGUAUCAAGGAGCUAUUCCUAUGAUGCCCCUAAAUAGUUCAGCACCAUUCGACCAAAGUUGUUUAGUAAUCGACCCUUGGCCUCCCAAUCUUUGAUGGAUCCCAGCGACCCUCUCAAGAGCCCAAAUCAUGGCCUGGGACAGUGCGUUGUCCCUAGCCGUAGGAGUCUAAGACUCCGCCUCUGCAGUGGGAGUACCAACUGUAUCGUUGGUCUUCAGAUUAGGCAUGCUACCCAUAGAGGAUGACUCGGCUUGAGCUCCUUCUCGGCGUCCUCAACAACCUCACAUACCCGGUCCACGACUACUACGCGAACUCAUAUUGCAAUCUAGCUACAAUUUCAGAAUACACAGAUCAGUUCACAUAUCCAGCAAAACGGUUUCACUAGUUUACACCAAGCAAUCUACCAAUAACAGUUAGGUAUCAUAAUCUUUACAACAGAACAGAAAUACUUACUAGGUCAGCAUCGGAGGCUCGAUCGUUCCCUAAUGUUUCAAUGUUUCUAUAUUAAUUUGGUUACUAAUUAUUACUAGCCAUAAUUCUCACACAUUAAGAGCCUAAACACAGUCCGAGUGUUGACAAACCUGGCUUUGAUACCACUAAAUAUAACACCCUAAACUCGGCCUAGACGUCUAGACCAAGCUGAAAAGUUACAUCAACCGUUCUAAAAACCAUACCACUAUAACGUAAUCAAAUUAAACCAGUCGUCACAUAUUAUUCAUCACAAUAGUAAUUUAAGACAUAAUCUCUAUAAAUCCAUAACAACAUAAAACAAAUAUCCCUAAUAAUAAUGCUAGUAGAAUACCAAUAAAUGUUUGAGCAACCUUCUGCGACACCGACCUGAGCAAGACUGAUAACUACCUGAAACCUAAACAAUAUUAGGGUGAGUUAUGAACUCAGUUCGUAAAAACGAAUGUAAUUCAACAACGGUGACUUAUGGAGAAUUUCCAGUUCAGAGAUUCAAUUCAUCCUAGAAGCAUGUUUGAUCUAGGUUCAGAAUAGAGGUAUUACAUAUGUAUACAUGUAUUAUUCCAAUUCAGAAAUAGUUCAGAUCAGAUUCGAAUGCACUGUUCCUAUUUCCAUCCUCUACACACCAACUUUUUCCAUCCCAACAUACCACUAAUGACAUUUAAUGCCCGUCCAUCCCUUCACACCUUUAAAGUGUUCAAUGACACUUUCACAGAAACGUAGCUUAGCUCCUAGUUCAAUGUGCGACAAGCACUAGAAUCAGAGUGAUACUUAUUGUGGCAUAGCUACGAUUUCAGUAUAGACUCCCCUUCUUUCACACAAUCUUCCACGAUAUGUUAAUGCAGAAUACAAUAGUCCGUAACACAUGUUUAGCCAUUCUGAUAAAAUACAUAAUUAAUAAAAUAGUUCAAUAACAGAGUGGUGUUACAGUGCAUAUUCAAGAAUCUGAGCCACAGAUCAGUCUCAUGUAAGCAAAUUCAGUCAUUCAUAAAUUGAGGAAACCAAUGUCAGAGUUUAGCACCCUUCCCGCCCUCAAAAACAGUUCUCAGAUCCAACAUCCUGCCACACGACUUGGGCUCGCCCUCGUGUGCCUUGGUCAUGUGGUUUUUAAGCACAAAUAGUGUGUUACACGACCUGGGCAUAUGUCUGUGUCCUUGGCUGUAUGGUUUUAUACUACAAACAGUGACUUACACGGCCCAGGCACACGAGUGGUUUUUACACCCUGAAUAGUGAGUUACACAGCCUGGGCAUAUGCCCGUGUCUCUGGCCGUAUGAACCCUGCACUAAAAUGGCUAUGCAUGGCCUAAACACACGCCCGUGUGGUUGCCCGUGUGGUCUUAAUUCUAUAAACAAUUAAUUACAUGGUCGUUCACACGGCAUACUAUACGCUCGUGUGACGCACACAGCCAAGUCACACACCCGUGUACCUGACCAUAAGGCGUUGAUAGCCACAAUUUUCAGUGAAAAAACUUGCAAAAACUAAGGUUUUCGAUACACACUUGGGACGAUUUGAAGGUAGUGACAAUGAAGAGAAGUUUCGAAACUUAAAACGACCAUUCAAUAACUCAAUUAAUCAAUUUUAUCAACAACAAUGCACAAUUAUACUCAAAAUACCUAUGUCGAAAGUUUUCACACCAACUUUCAACGAAAUCAAUACUUAUAAAAAAAUCAACGACGAUUACUCGAAUUGACUUGCUGAGGUUAGCUACUCUCAAUAUUCCCCCCUAACAGGGAAACCAAACAAUUGACUAUCAGAGAUUCACGCAACACACACAAACAGCCAUCUCAAAGUAUACUAUGUAAAGCAAAAAGAGAAAACCUGAAAUUAACGAAUUGACAUCAAAACUUACUCAAUAACCUCCCAACAGAAAAUGCUAACAGCGUAACUUCAACUAGUCCAUAUUCCUUACGACAAUUAAAUAGGAAAAGGGAAAAUUGAAAAAGAAGAAAAAGUAGAGAAUGAAGAAAAAGAAAAAGGAAAAACAGGAAAAAUAAUGGGAAAGAAGAACUAACGUUAAUUGAUUAUCAAUUAACUUCCAUCCAGACUUCCAGCAUUUAGCAAAAAUAUUUUCCUUACGCAUACUAUGGGAUUCAAACUCGGAACCAGAUAGAAUACAGACAAUGUUUAACCAGUGAACUAACAGGCUCAUCCUCGUCACCCUUUUACAAAGAAUUAAACUUAAGCGGGUAGUGCAUGCUUGUGGGUUGAUUCUAAAAUAACAAAACUUUUAAUGAUGCGACUUGAACUUUAGACCUUAGAAUUUUGAGGCGUCAAACGGUCUGUACCAGUUGCACCAACUCAUUCUGAUCAAUUCCAGUUACACCUGCUGGAACAUAGUGCACCGUCCUGUGCAUGAAUAAUAUUAAAAAUUUAAAACUUUUAAUUAUUUACUAUUAUGCUAAAAACAUAAUUGAAACGUGACUAAAUAAAAAUGCUACAUCGGAAUGUAAAGUUUUUUUAAAAAAUGGAAUAUACUUUCACAUUCAAAAUAUAAUUAAGAAAAAAACCAUUCACCCGAUUAUCAAAAAAAAUCGUUCACCUUCCAGCUUCUUUUACUAAGUAAAUGAGCUAAAUCCUUAAAAUUUCAUAUUAAAUGAUGGAUUUUUAUUAUUAAUUUUGAAUUUAUUUGAAUGAUAAAUUUUUUUUUGUUAAAUUUAUUAAUAAAUAUUUUAUAUUUGAAAUGUAUUUAGUUUCAUUCAUUUUAUAUUUGUAAUAUAUUUAUAUACAUAUCUUAAAUAAUUUUAAAAAAAAUUGAUAAAUCUAAAAAGAUACAUAUCAAUUUGAGUAAAAAAAAAUCAAAUGUCCACUAAUACAAGGAAAAGAAAUCUCAAUUCUUAAAAUUUCAAUCCCUUUAUAUUUAAAGGUGAAGACAGUAGAAGAAAAAUAAGAAUAGGUAUUAACAAUGAAAUUAGAUUUGAAUAACGUUGUCGCUAGGCAUAAUUUAUUGACAAUUUUUACAAGACGUUACAUGUAUUUAAUAUGACAUAAAAAAUUUAUGUAAAAUUUUGGGAUGGAAUAGUUUAUCUGUAUAUUUUAUUUUUUAGGUUGGGAUUAAAAAAUUAACAUGUUUAUUUUACAAAUAACUCUGUAGUAUUAUCGUCUUUAAAAUAAAAUUAUCUUAACAUGUUUAUUUCGAAGGUGGAUGUUUAAAUUUCGACUUAAACACAAAGGCAAACUAAAUAAAUUCUAAUCUAAAUUUCAUUUAGCUCAAUUUAUUAUAAAAAAUUAACUGCGUAAUUAAAUCAAAUUCAAAUUGACUCAAAUUUAUCUAAACUUGAAAUGAUUUAAUCACAAAAUAACUCGAACUUAAAAUGAUCAAAAUCUAAAAUGAUUCGGAUCAAUAAUAACUAGACAUGAAAAACUUAGCCUUAAAUUUAAAUGACUUGAACCUUAAAUAAAAAAAAUCCGAAAAUGACCUAAACCAUAUUGGAAGUUUUCAUGUAUUUUAAAGAAUUACAUAUAAUACACAUAUUUUAGAUACACCUAUUAAAUGGUGUUUAUAUAGAUUUGGUUUACUAUAAACUUGUAAGACUAAAAAUAAGAGAAUACGUAUGUGCACACGAGGCUUGAGCCUAAUAGCUCAAUUCCAUUCAAAUGGGAAAAUUUUUUCAAUUUUUUCAUUGCCCAUGAUACAAACUAAAUCCUAGAAAUAGUAAAUCCACGAAUAUCCUUAAGAAUAGGGAUAUUCAUGCCUCAAGCUACAAUUCUAAUUUUCUAAACUUUUGACUUUUUAAUAAACCUAAAAUGAUCUUAAAAUUUUAAUACAUAAAUUGAGACCGUGAAAUCUUGAAGGCCAAAGUUUAAGUCACAUUGUGAAUAAAUUAUAUGUAAGCCAUACUUUAGAUUUAUUCUAAUUAUUUACUUCGCUUCUAAUGUACAUAAACUUUGCCAACAUGGAGGAUUAUUCAAGUAUUCUAUUUGACAUAUUACUUUAAUUAAGGGAAUAAAUCUAAAAAAUUUACACAUGAAUAUUGCCUCAAUCUAGAAUGUCAAAGGUAAACUUUAAUUUAAUGUGCAUUAUGACACUUAAAUUAUGUUAAUUUUGUGUAAUUGUAUAUAAUAAAUUUUGAUUUUGAUUUAAUUUAAUUUGGGUUUGAGGCUCGACUUUUUUGGCCUGAGUCAUUAUGGGUUUUGAUUAUUUCAUAUAUUGUGACAAUUCAACCGUUGUCUUUAUGGCUAAGAUGACAAAAGUGGAAGUCGAAGUAAACAUAUCGACAUUAAGUUUCUAGAUGAGCACAUUAACACUAAGCAAAUGUUAGCUGAUCCUUUGGUUAAAGGCAUGCCACCACCCAAAAUUUAAGGAUCAUGUUGUCAUUGUGGGACUUGUUCCCACAUUGUAAAAUUUUAUUAUAAGAAAGGAUUAUAAAAAAAUUGGUUAAAUUAACUCUAAGUCAUUAUAAAUUUGUUAAUUAAAGAAUAGGUAAAAUUAAUAGAAAAUAAAAAUAAAACAAAAACGUUGAUAAUAAGUUAAAAAUCAAUCCAAAUCAUUAUAGAUUUUUUAUUUAAAAAAUGAACUAUAAUUAAAAUGGAAAAAAUAAAAAACAUGGGGCGCUAUUUUGUUUUGGGGGCAUGAAUGGAGUAUUGUUUAAGGGCAAGGGAUUUCUAUUCACUGCUCCAAUGCCUAUAUAAGCCUCAAUACCAUGCUUUGUUUUCCUCAUUCACAACUAUUCAGAUAAAGAACUUUGUCUCAUCUGCUUCAUUUGUUUCGAAAUCUCUGAACAAAAAUGGCCUCUUUCAAUUGCUUUGCUUUAGCAUUCUUGAUGGCUUUGUCAUUUGCAAGCAUUGAUGUUGGGGUAGCAGCUCGUCACCUUCUGCAGCAGCCUCAAACGCAAAGUUUGCCAUCUUUCCCUAAUCUCCCAACGCCAUCCCGACCAUCAUUCCCAUGGCCUGGGGCGCUUCCUCCACUUCCUACCACAUUGCCAACAGGACUGCCCCCUCUGCCAAGCAUUCCCUCAGUCCCCACAAUCCCAACUGCAAUUCCCCCUAUUCCUUUCUCUUUUCCACCAUUGCCAUCUUUCCCUAAUCUCCCAAACCUUGGGGCGCUUCCUCCACUUCCUACCACAUUUCCAAGAGGACUGCCCCCUCUGCCAAGCAUUCCUUCAGUCCCCACAACCCCAACUACAGUUCCCUCUAUUCCUUUCUUUUCUCCACCACCUUCUCGUUCUACUCCUUGAAGUACCCCAUUUUUUUAUCUACUGCAUAUUGGAUCUGGUUUAAUAAGGUUUUUAGUCGUCUUUGUGGCUUUAUUAUGAGUACUGAUUUUGCACACUUAUAUUUGUUUGAAUAAAUGGGAUUUCUCCAAUUCCCAAUAUUUGGUGUACUUUGAUACAUUGUUGCUUAUUAUAUAUGAGGUAUUUAUAUAUUGAUGUUAUGUCCAUGAAGUAAUUAAUUACUAUUAUACCAUUGUUAACAUGAGUUUGGCUAAUUAAGAAAAGAAUCAAACGAUAAAUGCAGUCAAGAUAAUGAGCAGCCAUACAUCGAGAAGAUGCCACUGUUGAUAUAAUGAUUCCUGCUUCAUUAUCUCUUCCAAGUUAUCCAUUUACAUAAGAAUAUUUUCCUCUUUCAAUAUAUUUCCAUGAUAAUAUUUUAUAUGAAUGUCAAAUUAUGUAUUAAAUUAAGGUAGUCGGUUUCGUACAGAUUUCGGUUAUAUUAAUUUGUGUAUUGUUUUAAUUUUAUACUGAAAUAUUAAUGCUUUUAAAAUUAGAUCGAUAAUUAAAUUAAUCGAAUAAUUAAUUCUCAAUCCAAUAGGUUUAACCACUGAUACAAAUAAUUUACUAUUCAAUAAUAUUAAUUAUUAAAAUCCCCAAACUCCUAUUUUGAUGGCUUUGAAUUUUAAAACCCUCUCCCCAUCUUUCAUCUUUCCUAAUUUGUCCUUUUUUUUUCCAUUGAUUGAAUAUUAUAAGUCCAUCUUAGUUUUUUACCAGAAAAAAGAACUUAUUUUAGUAGAAAAAGUAAGAAAAAAAAUGUUGGUUAUUUUUUUAUGUUGUGUUUUAUUUCAUUGAGUACAGAGAUGAAGUGUAACAAAAGCUCAAGGGAUUUGAAGUGAAAUUUUUAUAUUUCUGAUUUAGAAAAUGUGAAAAUACGGCUUAAUCGACUGAUGAUUUGCAGUUUAAUUGUAGUUUACUCUAGUUCUAGGGUUCAUCAAUUCUUGGUUUGUUUGGUUCAAUUUCAAUAACAUUGCGAAACACCCAACACCCUUUUUCUACACUGGUGAAAAUUUUGGUCCGUACCAGUUGCAUCAACUCAUUCUGAUCAAUUUCAGUCACACCUGUUAGAGCAUAGUGCACCAUCCUAUGCAUGAAUAAUAUUAAAAUUUUAAAAUUUUUAAUUAUUUAUUAUUAUGCUAAAAACUUAAUUGAAACGUGACUAAUUAAAAAUGUUACAUCGAAAUGUAAAGUUUUUUAAAAAAUGGAAUAUACUUUCACUUUCAAAAUAUAAUUAAGAAAAAAUCAUUCACUCGGUUAUCAAAAAAAAAUUCCGUUCACCUUCUAGCUUCUUUUAUUAAGUAACUGAGCUAAAUCCUUAAAUUUUCAUAUUAAAUGAUAGAUUUUUAUUAUUAAUUUUGGAUUUAUUUGAAUGAUAAAUUUUAUUUUUUAAGUUUAUUAAUAAAUAUUUUAUAUUUGAAAUGUAUUUAGUUUCAUUCAUUUUAUAUUUGUAAUAUAUUUAUAUACAUAUCUUAAAUAAUUUUAAAAAAUAUUGAUAAAUCUGAAAAGAUAUGUAUCAAUUUCAGUAAACAAAAAAUCAAACGUCCACUAAUACAAAGAAAAGAAAUCUCAAUUCUUAAAAUUUCAAUCCCUUUAUAUUUAAAGUUGAAGACAGUAGAAGAAAAAUAGAAAUAGGUAUUAACAAUGAAAUUAGAUUUGAAUAACGUUGUCACUAGGCAUAAUUUAUUGACAAUUUUUGUAAGAGGUUACAUGUAUUUAAUAUGACAUAAAAAACUGUUAAAUUAACUCUAAGUCAUUAUAUAUUUGUUAAUUAAAUAAUAGGAAAAAUUAAUUGAAAAUAAAAAUAAAACAAAAACGUUGAUAAUAGGUUAAAACUUAAUCCAAAUCAUUAUAGAUUUUUUAUUUAAAAAAUGAACUACAAUUAAAAUGGAAAAAAUAAAAAACAUGUGGCGCUAUUUUGUUUUGGGAGCAGGAAUGGAGCAUCGUUUAAGGGCAAGGGAUUUCUAUUCACUGCUCCAAUGCCUAUAUAAACCUCAAUACCAUGCUUUGUUUUCCUCACUCACAACUAUUCAGAUAAAAAACUUCGUUUCAUCUGCUUCGUUUGUUUCGAAAUCUCUGAACAAAAAUGGCCUCUUUCAAUUGCUUUGCUUUAGCAUUCUAGAUGGCUUUGUCAUUUGCAAGCAUUGAUGUUGGGGUAGCAGCUCGUCACCUUCUGCAGCAGCCUCAAACACAAAGUUUACCAUCUUUCCCUAAUCUCCCAACGCCAUCCCGAUCAUUGUUCCCAUGGCCUGGGGCGCUUCCUCCACUUCCUACCACAUUGCCAACAGGACUGCCCCCUCUGCCAAGCAUUCCCUCAGUCCCCACAAUCCCAACUGCAAUUCCCCCUAUUCCUUUCUCUUUUCCACCAUUGCCAUCUUUCCCUAAUCUCCCAAACCUUGGGGCGCUUCCUCCACUUCCUACCACAUUUCCAAGAGGACUGCCCCCUCUGCCAAGCAUUCCUUCAGUCCCCACAACCCCAACUACAGUUCCCUCUAUUCCUUUCUUUUCUCCACCACCUUCUCGUUCUACUCCUUGAAGUACCCCAUUUUUUUAUCUACUGCAUAUUGGAUCUGGUUUAAUAAGGUUUUUAGUCGUCUUUGUGGCUUUAUUAUGAGUACUGAUUUUGCACACUUAUAUUUGUUUGAAUAAAUGGGAUUUCUCCAAUUCCCAAUAUUUGGUGUACUUUGAUACAUUGUUGCUUAUUAUAUAUGAGGUAUUUAUAUAUUGAUGUUAUGUCCAUGAAGUAAUUAAUUACUAUUAUACCAUUGUUAACAUGAGUUUGGCUAAUUAAGAAAAGAAUCAAACGAUAAAUGCAGUCAAGAUAAUGAGCAGCCAUACAUCGAGAAGAUGCCACUGUUGAUAUAAUGAUUCCUGCUUCAUUAUCUCUUCCAAGUUAUCCAUUUACAUACGAUUACUUUCCUUUUUAUAUGAAUUUCUUUAAAUUAGGGUAGUCGGUUUCAUACAGAUUUCAGUUAUACUAAUUUGUGUACAUUGUUUCAAUUUUAUAUCAAAAUAUUAAUAUUUUUGAAAUUAGAUCGAUAAUCAAAUCAAUCAAAUCAUUAAUUCUUGAUUCAAUAGAUUCAACCACUGAUACAAUUAAUUUACUAUUCAACAAUAUAAAAUAAUAUUAAUUAUUAAAAACCCCAAACUCCUCUAUUUUUAAGGCUUUGAAUUUUAAAACCCUCUCCUCGUCUUUCAUCUUUCCUAAUUUAUCUUUUUUUUUCCUUUGAUUGAAUGUUAUAUGUCCAUCUUAGUUUUUUUUUAAAAAAAAAACUUAUUCUAGUAGAAAAAGUAAGAAAAGAAAUGGUGGUUAUUUUUUUAUGUUGUGUUUUAUUUCAUUGAGUGCAGAGAUGAAGUGUAACAAAAGCUUAAGGGGUUUGAAGUGAAAUUUUUAUUUUUCUGAUUUACAAAAUGUGAAAAUACGGCUUAAUCGACUGAUGAUUUGCAGUUUAACUGCAGUUUACUCUAGUUCUCGUGCUCAUUGGUUCUUAGUCUAUUUGGUUUGGUUCUAAUAACAUUACGAAACACCCAACCCUAUUUUUCUACACUAGUGAAAAUUUCGGUCUAUAACACCCUAAACCCGGCUUAGACAUCCAAACCAAGUUGGAAAGUCACAUCAACCGUUCUAAAAGCCAUACCACCAUAACGCAAUCAAAUUAAACAAGUCGUCAAAUAUUAUUGAUCACAAUAGUAAUUUAAAGACAUAAUAUUCAUAAAUCCAUAACAUCAUAAAACAAAUAUCCCUAAUAAUCAUGCUAGCAGAAUAUCAAUAAGUGUCUGACCAAGCUUCCGCGACACCGAUCCGAUCAAGACUGAUUACCACCUGAAACCCAAACAAUAACAUGGUGAGUUAUGAACUCAAUGUGAAAAAAGGAAUGUAAUUCAAUAACGGUGACUUAUGGAGAAUAUCCAGUUCAGAGAUUCAGUUCAUCCUAGAAGCAUGUUUGACCUAGGCUCAGAGCAGAUAUGUAUACAUGUAUUAUUCCAAUUCAAAUAUAGUUCAGAUCAGAUUCGGAUGCAAUACUCCUAUUUCCAUCCUCUACACACUAAAUUUUUCCAUCCCAACAAACCAUUAUGGACAUUUAAUGCCCAUCCAUCCCUGCACACCUUUAAAGUGUUCAAUGACACUUUCAUAGAAACGCAGCUUAGCUGCUAGUUCAAUGUGCGACAAGCGCUAGAAUCAGGGUGAUACUUAUUGUGGCAUAGCCACAUUUUCAGUACAGACUCCCCUUCUUCCUCACAAUCUCCCACCAUAUGUUAAUGCAUAAUACAAUAAUCCGUAACACAUGUUUAGCCAUUUUGAUAAAAUACAUAAUUAAUAAAACAGUUCAAUAACAGAGUGGUGUUACAAUGCAUAUUCAAGAAUGUGAUUCACAGAUCAGUCUCAUGUAAGAAAAUUCAGUCAUUCGUAAAUUGAGAAAACCAAUAUCAGUGUUUAGCACCCUUCUCAGCCUCAAAAAUAGUUCUCGGAUCAACAUCCUGCCACACGGCCUGAGCCCACCCAUGUGCCUUGGCCUUGGAUUUUUAUACCCCAAACAGUGAGUAAGACGGCCUGGGCACACGCCCAUGUCCCUGGCCAUGUGAACCUUGUACUAUAAUGACCGUACACAGCCUAAACACAUGCCCCUGUGGCCACCCAUGUGGUCUUAAUUCAAUAAACAAUGAGUUACACGGCUUACCACACACCCUUGUGACACUCAAGGCCUAGUCACACGCUCAAGAGAAAAUCAAAAAAGAAGAAAAAGUAGAGAAGAAAGAAAAACAAAAAGGAAAAAAAAUAAAAACAAUGGGAAAGAAGAACUAACGUUAAUUGAUUAUCAAUUAACAUCCAUUCAGACUUCCGGCAUUUAGCAAAAAUAUUUUCCUUACGCAUACUACAAGAUUCGAACUCAGAACCAGAUAGAAUACAGACAGAUGUUUAACCAGUGAACUAGCAGGCUCAUUCUUGUCACCCUUUUAUAAAGAGUUGAACUUAAGCGGAUAGUGCGUGCUUGUGGGUUGAUUCUAAAAAAACAAAACUUCUUAUGAUGUGACUCGAACUUCAAACCUUAAACUCAAUUGCAGAACACAGAACCAUAGAUACAGAAAUUAGUUACUGUAGAUUUUUACAAACAAGUUCUUAAAAUUUUGGGGCAUUACAACUCUUUCCCCCAAAGGAAGUUUUGGCCUCAAAAUUUUUGCUUAAGUCGAAUAGAUAUGGAUACAGCCAUCGAAUAGAUUCCUCUGGCUCCCACGUGGCUUCCUCAGUUCUGUGAUUCUGCUAGAGGACCUUCACCAGAGGAAUAGUUUUCUUCGUUAGUUUCUUAACGUCACGUCCAAGAUCUGAACAGGCUCUACCUCGAAUAUCAAGUCUGAUCGUAACUUAACCUCGUCAAUCGUAACAAUAUGUGAUGGAUUCAAUCGGUACCGUCUCAACAUCGAGACAUUAAACACAUCAUGAAUCCAAUCCAGCUCCAGCGGUAACUCUAACUUGUAAGCAACAGGUCCAACUCGCCUUAAGAUACGGUAAGGCCUUAUAAAUCUCGGGUUUAGCUUGCCCCUAUGUCUAAAUCGGAGGACAUUUUUCCAAGGUGAUACCUUUAGAAACACUUGAUCACCUACUGAAAACUCAAUAUCCUUCCUUUUUAAAUCUGCAUAAGACUUUUGUCAAUCAGACACGACUUCUAGUCAAUCCUGAAUUACUUUCACAAUGCUCUCAAUUUCAGAAACCAACUCAGGACCCAAUAUAUGGCGUCCUCUCAACUCCUUCUAACAUAACGAAGUAUGGUACUUACGGCCAUAUAAAGCUUUGUAAGGUGUCAUUUGAAUACUGGACUGAAAUUUAUUGUUGUAAGUAAACUCCGUUAACGGUAGAUACUCCUCCGAACUACCCCUGAAGUCUAUCACACAACCUCGAAGCAUAUCUUUUAGGAUCUGAAUGACUCGUUCUAAUUGUCUGUCGGUCUGAGGGUGAUAUGCGGUACUAAACUUAAGUCGAGUGCCUAAAGCCUCAUGAAAUUUCUUCCAGAACUAAGACAUAAAUUGCGGAUCUUUAUUGGAAAUAAUUGAGACAGAAAUUCCAUGUAGCCUCACAAUCUCGACGAUGUACAGUUUAGCUAACUUCUGUAAUGAAUAAUCCAUUCGAAUAGGAAUGAAAUGAGCCGAUUUGGUCAACAGGUCAACUAUGAACCAAACUGAAUCCUUUUUAGCAAGAGUUAAGGGCAACCCUGUAACAAAAUCUUUUAUUGCCCGCUCUUAUUUCCACUACAAAAUCUUAACCGACUGAAGCAGUCUAGAGGGCAAAUGAUGUUUGGCCUUAACCUUUUGACACGUAAAAUAGUGGGACACAAAAAUGACUACCUCUCGAACCCUAAACCCUAAAUCCUAAACCCUGAACUUUAAAGCCUACAACCCUAAACCCUAAACCCUAAGAUCCCGGCACAUCUUAUUCCCACUAAAAUGUAUAGCAUAGGGUCUAUUGUGUGCCUCCUACAGAAUCGAGUGCCUUAAUUCUUUGUCAUUGGGUACACAAAUCUGACCUUUGAAGCAUAACACAGUAUCGGUAUUCAAGCUAAAAUCAAAAUUCUCGUCUGAGCCAACAUGUUGCAAUCGCUGUAUUAAGGAUUCGUCAUUUUUUAGUUUACCUCGAAUUUGCUCUAUCCAAACCGAUUUCACUUAGAGUUUAGCUAACAACCCUCCAUCCUCAACCAAACUCAAACGAGCUAAAAUUACUCUCAGAUCCACCACUGCUCUACGGCUAAAGGCAUCAACUACCACAUUAGCCUUACCUAAAUGAUAUUCUAUGGUGCAAUAUAAUCUUUAAGUAACUCGACCCAUCAGCACUGAUGAAGGUUCAACUCUUUUUGGGUUAACAAAUAUUUGAGGAUCUUGUGAUCAAUGUAAAUAAUACACCUUUCACCAUACAGAUAGUGCCUCCAAAUUUUUCAAAGCAAAUACGACAUUAGCUAGCUCAAGAUCGUGGGUGAGGUAAUUACCCUCGUGUGUCUUCAUCUUCUGCGAUGUGUAAGUGACUACCUUACCGUCUUACAUAAGCACAUAUCCUAACCCAACAUGUGAAGCAUCACUGUAAACCACAAACUCUCGUCCCGAUUCUGGUUGAACCAAAACAGAAGCUUGUGUCAAAACGGUUAUCGAAAUUAGACUGCUGUGCCUCAGACCAUACUGUAGCGACGUAAAAAUUUUGCUUUGGUCGCUAAUUAAGGCGAUUUCUUGAAAAUUUGAAAACCAACUUUCGAUUUUAUAAACAAGGGAGUCGCCACCGAUCUUUUUCUAGUUGUGAUCGGACACCUAAUGAAUCAUCUUUUUAGAGAAGAAAAUUUAUUCUUGAACAAAAUGAACGCCGAAUUUAGGUCUACGUCAAAAACCAAAGUAAAGUUGGGUUCGGGAGUCGGUUACGUGGGAGGAAGGUAUUAGCACCCUCGCGACCCCAAAAUUGGUAUCUUUAUUAAAUAGGUGUUGUCUUGAUUUUCAAAAAUACGAAUUCAAUUUGACAUUUAAUCGUGAUCCGAUUGAAAAAUGAGAAUUUUUAGCUUUCGAUUUUUUUUAGAAGAGGUGUCCCGUUUUUAACACGAGCCAACGAACUUCACCCAACAUAGCAAUGAAAUUGAUGACUUAAUGUUAAAUCGGUUCAUUGCCUUAUUUAUUGAAAUUAGUAAAAAAAACAUGGAUAAAAAUCUUUAAAGUAGUGAACAGCAAAAUGAUAUAAAAUGGGCGGGAAACGAAAAAAUAAGAGAGUUAGAAAUACAUCGAAGCAAAUAAUAAAUAUGACAAUAAUAUUAAAAACAAUGCCAAUAUUUGUGAUAUUAAACAUGAUAAUAAUAGUAUUAAAUACGAAAUAGAGACGAGCAUAUAUAUAAACAUAUAAUAAUAAUGAGUGAAGUGACGUAAACAUACUAUUAAAAAUACUAAUAGUGCUAUAUAUAUAUAUUAACGUAUAUACGUAAUAAUAGGAAUGAAAAGUGUAUACAUAAUAAUACUAAAUAUAUAUAUACAUAAUAUAUGUACACAUAAUAUAUAUAAAAUGAACAUAUUAGAAAUACUAAUAACAUAAAAAAUAUAUAUUAGUAAUACUACAUAAAUAUGUACAUAUAUAUUAAAAUAAAUACAUAAUAAUAUUAAAAGUAUAUACAUAAAAUAGUGUUAAAAAUGCAUACAUAAUAUAGUUGUUAAUAUAUAUAUACAUAUUAGAAAUAAUAAUAAUGUUACAAAACAAUUAUUAAUAAUACUGCAUAAACAUGUAUAUAUAUGUUAAAGAUAUAUACAUAUAUAAUAAACAUAUACUACUAAUAAUAAUAAUAAUAAUAAUAAUAAGAUGUAUGUACACCAAAUAACACAUAAUAAUAUUAAAAUAAAAUAAUAAGUGACAAUAGUGAAAAUAGUAAGUAUAAUAAUAAAUAUAACGAUAUAUGAAAAUAAUACUAUGUAUGAAAAGUAUAUAUACCCAUAUAAUAAGAUAUAUGUACUAAUAUUAAUAAUAAAUAUAAUAGGGAUAAAAUAGAUAUAAUAAUAUAUACAUAAUAUGGUAUUAAAAAUAUAUAUGUCACAUAGUAUUCAAGAAUAUGCACAUGAGAUGAUAUAAAAAUAUAUACAUAAUAUAAUAAAAUAUAUGAAUAAUAUGAUAUUAAAAAAAUAUACAAAAUAUAAAAAAAUAUAAUAUUAAAAAAAUAAUAAUAAUAUACAUAAUAUAAGAGUAUUAAAAUAAAUAAAAAAUAUGGAAGGAAUGAGUAAAAAUAAUAUACAUAAUAAUAUAAUAAGAAAAUAAUAUAUUUAUAAUAAGUACUUAAAAAUAUUUACAUUUAUAUAUGUAUAAUAAUGAUAAAAAAUAAUAAUAAUAGUGAAAAUAAUAAAUAUAAUAAUAAAUAUAAUAAUAGAAAAAGAUAAUACUAUGUAAAAAGUAUAUAUACAUAUAUAAUAAAAUAUAUACUAAUAUUAAUAAUAAUUAUAAUAGAGGUAAAAGUAGAUAUAAUAAUAUAAAUAAUACGUACAUGAAAAAUAAUAAUAAAUAAUAAUAUAAAAAGAAAAUAUGAUAAAAUAAUAGUGUAUAAAAUAAUAAUAAUAAUAAUAUUUACAAUAAAAGAAAAUAAAAAGAGUGUAUUUAAAACUAUAUACGUAGUAUUAUUGAAACUAAUAUUAAAAAUUAAUAAUAAUAAUAAUAAUAAUAAUAAUAAUAAUAAUAAUGAUAAUAAUAUAAUAAUAGUAACUAUAGUAAUAAUAUAUUGAUAAAAUAAAAAAUAAUAGUGAUAAUAAGAAUAUUAAUAAUAAUAGUCAUAAGGAUAAUAUAAAUAAUAUUUAAAAUAAAAUAAAAUAGCAAAGAUAAUAUAAAAAUCAACUUAAAUUUAAAAAAAAAGACUAAAUUCGAAACAAAAACGAAGUUUUGGGGCCAAUUUAAAAAGAAAUAAAGGAAAAGGGAUUAAAUUGCAUGCACGAAAAAUAGUGCAGGGACUAAUGAUGCAAAAAAUCCAUUCGGCCUAAAACGCACAGCAGCAGAGGGACUGAAUUACCAAGCACAACAAAUUUCGGGUCAAAAUUUAAAACAACUAAAAACUUAAUUGCAUAAUAGAAAAAAAGCGGAGGGGCUAAAUGCGCAAAUAGCCCCUCCAAUGAAAACACGCGGAUCCUGAAGUUGGAGCGGGUCGGAUUCGGGUCAGCCAAGUCAAAACGAUGUCGUUUUAAGGCUUAUGAGCUUAGGCCAAAAUGACGCUGUUUUGAUCUCUUAUAAAAAUUAAAACUUUUACAAAAAAUCUUCAUUCUUUCAUUUCACUUAAAAAAAAACUAAAGCCCCUAAAAAUUUUCUCGCAACCAGCCUUCUGCAGGAGGAAUUCCGGCGACUUCUCCGGCGCCGUCCGUCACCGUCGGCCACCUUGCACGGUGGUUGGAGCUCCAAAAACGAUAAUUUUCUUCCUUUUUUCUUAGAUAUUAUUGAUAUACAUAUAUAUAAGACAGUUUUUUUUAAGAAAAUAUAAAAAAAUAUAGGUAUAUAUAUAAUUUCGAAUAAGAAAUAUAAGGAAAGAAAUGAAAAAAUUAUAACCUUCAAUAGUUGAAUCAAUCUCCUCUGUUCUUUAUUAUUUCAAAAACUGCCUUUUUUUGCAUAUGCUUGAAUCUUUUUGUAUUUUUGUCAGUUAAAAAAAAUCCAAUACAAGUGAUUUUGUGGCUUUUUAUAGCCAUUUUUGCAACUUGCUUUUUUUCAAUUCCUCUAUCACUUCUGUUGCAGGUGGAUGAGGUCAACGGUGGCAGAGUUGGUGAGGUAGGUGGAGCGGCGGUAUGGUGGAUGGGACAGAGGCUGCGGCUAGGGGGGCUAGGGUUUCUGAUUUCUAAAAAUAAGUUGUGGGCUGAUGUUAAUGGGUUAGGGCUUGUUUAAUUGGGUUUGGGUUUAAUGGGUCUUUGUAUGGGUUGGAAUAGGUUUAGGUCAAAAUGGGCCUGGGAUUUAAAUUGGGUUAAAUUUGGGUUUGGUCUUGGGUUUAUUUUUUAGUUGUAAUAGUUUAUUUUUGUAAAAGGCUCGAGUUAAUUUGGGCUUCUACAGCUUCCCCUCUUUGCUUAUUGUCGUGCAACGAGAAUAGAGCAAAGACUUUCAAGGAAGACCAAAUUUGCCCGGUCUUACUGAGUUUUGACUUGUUUCGGAGCUCCUCUUUUCCAAGUAGUCUCGUUCUAAUCCAUCGCAUCUUGUAGCUUUGGUUCAAUCCAUCGCGACUUCAGGGCUAUGACUUGUAGCUUCAAUCUACUCAUAUCUCCAGAGAUAUAAAAUUCGUUGUGAUCUGCUCUUCUACUGUAUCUUCAGGAAGAUAAGAUCUGCAACUUCAAUGCGCUCCACUACAACUUCGAUCAGCUCCAUUGUAACUUCAAGGUUCUGCUACAACUUCAGGGAGAUAAGACUUGUAACUUUAACCUGCUUCACUGCAACUUCAAGAAUAUAAGAUCUACAACUUCAAUCCGCUCUUCUAUCACUUCAGUGGGACAAGAUUUGUGGUCUUUUCUUCUGCAACUUCAGAAAGGUAAGAUCUGAUACCCUCGAUCAACUCCACUGCAACUUCAGGGUGAUAAGACUUGUAACUUCGUCCUGCUUCACUGCAACUUUAGGGGGGCAAAAUCUGCAUCUUCGAUCAACUCCAAUCUUAAUCCUCGGUGUGUGACCCGAGGCUCAACUUAUCUCUCGCAAUAUGAGCUGGCUUUUGAUAAAAACAGAAUUUGAAAAAUAGAAACUGAAAAUGCCUCAGCAUGUCCCGAGGUUCAACUCACCUCUCGCAAUAUGAGCUUAUUUUUUUGAAAAAUAGAAAUUAAAAAUAUCUCGGCAUGUGGCCCGAGGGCUAACUCACCUCUCGCAAUAUGAGUUGAUAGAAACUAAAAAUAUCUCAGCGUGUGACUCGAGGCUCAAUUCACCUCUCACAAUAUGAGUUGAUUUUUUUAAUGAACAUUAAUUAAAAUUACCUCAGCGUGUUCUGAGGCUCAACUCACCUCUCGCAAUAUGAGUUGAUUUUUUUGUUUUUUUUUUUAAAGAUAAAAAUUGAAAAUACCUCAACGUGUCUUAAGGCUCAACUCACCUCUCACAAUAUGAGUUGAUAACAGAAAUAAAAACAUCAGAAUACCAAAACAUGUCAUCUGGUGGAACUCAGGUGUCUUUUCCUUUGAUUUAUUACAUCUAUCAUCACAUCCUCUCGCUCUACUGGAGUACCUGUAUAUGUCAUGCGUGAUGUUAUCAUGAUAUGCACAUGUUUGUCUUAAAUGCCUUUAUGCCUACAUGAUUAUGCUAUGUGCCUUAGGCAUGUUUGUCGUAUGUCCUUUUCCGUCAAGAUUUUUUUUUUUUGUGAUGAUCUACAUUCAUUAUUUCGGAUCUUGACUCUCUCUUUAGGCCCGUACCCAUCCUCAAGCUUCACAAACAAUCUGCGUUUCUCAGAUAUCACUCUUUUGCCCCUGGUUAAACUUUGUCCUUUCUUUGAAACUCUUGUACUUAUCAAAUUCUUAUCCGGGUAAUGCUCAACAUUUCUUUUGUCUAGAGUAUGUCAUUUCACUAUUUAUCAUUUAAAUAAACCACAUAAUGAGAUGCAUAAAAAUGGUCAGGUAGAGACAACAAGGGUACCUCAGAUUUAUUUAUUUCAAAUGUAGCAAACAAAGAAAGUUAACCAAUGAUAGUAAAAAAAAGUGUCAUAAAGAGAAAAGGGAUCGCAUUCAACGAAUACAAAUGCUCUAGAUAUUCAACACAUGAACUCUUCCACGUUUCUUAAUUAAGAAUCUUUUCGAGCAUGGCUUCUUGCGUAGAAGAUUUCGAGCUACUGAAAAUGAUUCAAAUACUGUAGUUCCACCGUUUGACUCACUUGUUCAAAUCGUCUUACUCUUUGAGCCCAGGUCUUCUUCAUUAGGAUGCCCUUUCGGGUUUUCAUCCUAAUCUUUUGUGUUAAUCAAGACGCCCUUUUCGGGUUUUCACCUUGAUCUCUCUUUUUUUUUAGGCAUAAUAUUUCUUCAUAGCAUCUGAAUUCACUGGAUUAGGUAACUCCUUCUCGUCCAUCUCAGUGAGAAUCAAAGCUCCACCCGAGAAUGCCUUCUUUACGACGUAUGGUCCUUCCCAAUUUUGUGCCCAUUUUCCUCGCAUGUCUUUUUGUAUUGGGAGGAUUUUUCUCAGCAUGAGUUCUCCUUCAUAGAAUUCUCUCAGCCGUACUUUCUUGUCAUGGGCUGCGAUCAUUCUCUUCUGGUACAUCUGUCCGUGACAAAUUGCCUUUAAACGUUUUUCUUCGAUGAGGUUUAACUGGUUAUAUCGAGCUCGAACCCAUUCUACUUCCUCUAAUUUUGACUCCAUUAAGACUCGUAGAGAAGGGAUCUCAACUUCAAUAGAUAGCACAGCUUCCAUUCCAUAGACCAGAGAGAAAGGAGUUGCUCCCGUAGAUGUCCAUACAGAUGUGCGAUAUGCAUACAAAGCAAAUGGUAGCUUCUCGUGCUAGUUUUUAUAUGUCUCGGUCAUUUUCCCAAUAAUCUUCUUAAUAUUCUUGUUGGCCGCUUCAACAGCUCCGUUCAUUUUCGGGCAAUAGGGUGAUGAGUUAUGAUGCUUUAUUUGAAAUUGCUCACACACUUCCUUCAUCAUCUUGUUGUUCAGAUUCAAGGCGUUAUCUGAAAUGAUUCUUUCAGACAAACCAUACCGACAAAUGAUUUCCUUUUUCAAAAACCUACAAACUGCAGUCUUCAUCACAUUGGAAAAUGAAGCGGCUUCUAUCCAUUUUGUGAAGUAAUCAAUAACCACAAAAAUGAAUCAGUGUCCAUUAGAAGCUUUUGGGGAAAUGGGCCCUAUAACAUCCAUGCCCCACAUAGAAAAAGGUCACGGAGAAGUCAUGACAUGAAGAGGCGAAGGGGCUACAUGAAUCUUAUCGCUAUAAAUUUGACAUUUGUGGCAUUUUCUUGCAUAACUAAUGCAGUCACUUUCCAUCGUCAGCCAGUAAUAACCGAGUCUCAUAAUCUUCCUGGCCAUAGUGAAACUAUUGGCAUGUGUCCCAAAAAUUCCUUCAUGGACAUCUUCAAGUAUUUUCCUGGCUUCAACAGCAUCUACGCAUCUCAAGAGCAGUUGAUCUUUUCCUCUUUUGUACAGAAUGUCCCCAUCAAGAACAAAUCCUACUGCCAUUCUUCUGAUUGUUCUUUUGUCGUUCUCAUUUGCUUGUUCGGGAUACUUUUGAUUCUUGACAUAUUCUAGGAUAUCAUGGAACUAUGGCCAUCCAUCUGGCUCAUUUUCAAUGCUGAAACAAUGUGCAGGGACUUCAUAUAUGCUCAUUUGAAGAGGCAUUAUUUCUGUUUCUCUGUUCGCUUUGAACAUUGAAGCCAAAGUGGCCAGGGCAUCAGCCAAUUGGUUUUCUUCUCGUGGGAAGUAAUUAAAAGUUAUUUCUUUGAAUUCUUUAAUCAGUCCUGCCACUAGAUCGCUGUAUUUAAUUAAUUUCGAAUCUCUCACUUCCCACUCUCCGUGAAUUUGGUAUAUCACCAACGCUGAGUCCCCGUACACCUCUAAGAUUUCGACGUUUCGUUCAAUAGCUACACGAAGUCCCAUGAUACAGGCCUCAUAUUCCACUAUGUUAUUGGUACAGAAGAAAUUCAGCCUUGCAGUGAACGGAUAAUGGCUUCGUUCUGGUGAUACUAAGACUGCUCCAAUCCCAUGCCCCAAUGCGUUCGAUGCACCAUCAAAUCUCAUCUUCCAUGACUUCUCUUUUGGUGACUCGCACUCUUUUUCUGUAAUGCACAUCAAGUCUUCAUCCGGGAAAUCAAAUCUCAAUCGCUCGUAUUCAUCCAUUGUUCGAGUUGCUAAGAACUCAGCUAUUGCGCUUACUUUUAUCCACUUUUGACUCACAUAGACGAUGUCAUAUUCUAAUAGUAGGAUCUGCCAUCGUGCCAUUCUUCCUGAAAGUACAGGUGAUUCCAUCAUAUACUUUAUUGGGUCCAGCUUUAAAAUUAACCAUGUCGUAUGAUACAACAUAUAUUGCCUGAGCCUCCGAACUACCCAAACCAAAGCGCAACAGAAUUUUUCAAUUGACGAGUACUUUGCCUCAUAUUCUGUGAACUUUUUGCUGAGAUAGUAAAUCGCCUUUUCUCUUUUCCCUGAUUCAUCAUGUUGCCCCAGUACGCAACCCAUAGAAUUUUCGAACAUAGUCAGAUACAAUAUUAACGGUUUUCCUGGAAUUGGCGGUACUAGUACCGGGGGACUAGACAAAUACUGUUUUAUCUUGUCAAAAGCCACUUGGCACUCUUCGUUCCAUUCUUCUGGAUUAUGUUUUCGAAGGAGUCGAAAAAUUGGAUCACACUGGUUGGUAAGUUGAGCAACGAAUCGAGCGAUGUAGUUCAACCUCCCUAAAAAUUCUCUGACUUCUUUUUGUGUGCGCGGAGGUGGUAGUUCUUUUAUGCCUUUUAUCUUAUCUGGAUCCACUUCAAUGCCUCUCUCACUAACAAUGAAGCCUAGAAAUUUUCCCGAGGUAGCCCCAAACAUACAUUUGGCUGGAUUAAGCUUUAGCUGGAACUUUCUCAGUCUUUCGAACAACUUCCUGAGGUUCCCCACAUGCUCUCUUUCCCCCUUGGAUUUGGCGAUCAUAUCAUUGACGUAGACUUCUGUUUCUUUUGCAUCAUGUCAUGAAACAACAUCACCAUGGCCCUCUGAUAUGUUGCCCCAGCAUUCUUUAAUCCGAAUGGCAUCACCUUAUAACAGAAUGUUCCCCACAUCGUUACGAAUAUAGUUUUCUCCAUAUCCUCGAGAGCCAUCUUUAUCUGAUUAUAACCUGAGAAUCCAUCCAUGAACGAAAGCAAUGAAUGAUUGGCUGUGUUAUCCACCAAUGUAUCGAUGUGUGGCAAAGGAAAAUUAUCUUUAGGACUUGUUCGAUUCAGAUCGCGAUAAUCCACACACAUUCAUACCUUGCCGUCUUUCUUCGGUACUAGAACUAUGUUAGCUACCUAUUAUGGGUACUUGGAGACUUGUAGGAAGCCAGCAUCAAAUUGUUUCUUGACUUCUUCUUUUAUUUUUAACAGUAUUUCAGGUUUCAUUCGUUUUAGCUUCUGUUGAAUGGGUUUGCAUUCUGGUUUCAGUGGGAGUCUAUGGACCACUACAUCCUCAUCCAAUCCUGGCAUGUCCUGAUAUGACCAUGCAAAUACAUCUUUGUACUCAUGAAGCAAAGCAAUCAAAUCAUGUUUGGUGUUAUCUGAAAUGGAGGUCCCAAUCUUCACUUCUUGCCUCUUUUCUUCAUUUCCCAGGUUUACUAUCUUGAUAGAUUCUUGAUGAGGUAGAAUCUGUUUAUCUUCUUGUUCUACCAUUCUUAGUAAGUCAGGAGACGAGACAUAGUCUUCAACAUUUUCCUCAGGUUCAAACUCUCCUAAGCAAAUAGCCUUUUCGAAAUCGAUUUCAAGAUUUGUAACGGGUUUGUUCAUAUCAUUGAUAUCUGAGUACCUGAAAGUUGAAUGGAAAAGAAACUAUAGAGGAGCAUCAACGUAUUGGGACCAACAAGCAUAAUAUUAUAAUGUGAGAUAUAUGGAAUGACAGGCUGUGAGAAGAAGGAAAAAGUAUGAAGUUAAUGAGAAUGAAAAGACCAUGACAAAAGUGCAUCUCCAUUAAUGUUCAUUUAAAUGAUAAAGAGCAAAUUAUAAGCUCUUAAAGAAUCCCUACUAUUACUUAGGGACACACAAAAAGAAGAGUGUUAACAUUGAGCAUUACUCUGGAGAAGACUUAGAAACUACAAGGAGAUCCACAAUAGUCCAAUUGUUCAAAAUGAAUCCAGGAGGACAAGGGCGUAUCAUUGAAACAUCUUUAAUUGCAUCAUCUCUUUUGUCAAUGGCAUUUAUACUGACAUUCUGAAAACCCCUUUGAAUUAAUAACAGCAUGCUUCGUGGAUUAUCUUGCCCGGGCUAUAUCAUUCCUGCAGAUGUAAAUGUUUUUGACAAAGGAGGGUACGUUAUGGGCCCCUAUUCUAAUUCUCGGCCUAAGGCUCUUGUAAUCCGCCUUUCUCGAUCUUUCUGCAACUGUUUUCUUCUUUGUCACAUAUCUGGCUAGAACCCUAAACCAUAUCGAGCCUUAUGGGGCACUGGUUUGAGAGCUCUAACUAUUCCUUCCUGAUAUCUUCCCAAACCUUUUUUUGCUCGGGCUCCCUUUCCCACAGUCAACUGAAUUCCCAUCUUGGUACUCCUUGACAACAUGGGCAUGGGAACUUUAUUUCUUUCAGCAACGAACGUAGCAUUGAUGAAUUCAAAGGAAUGGAAGGAACAUUCUACUGCAUCCUUGCUUACUUCGAGGUAUGGUGUAUCAGCAGAGAUAGAUACGACAAUGUCUUCCUCACCCACGACGGUGACCAAAAGACCAUCCAUGAUAAACUUCACUUUUUGAUGGAGAGAUAAAGGAACUACCCCAGCAGAAUGGUUCCAAGGCCUUCCUAAAAGGCAAUUAUAUGAAGGCGUGAUGUCCAUGACCUGAAACUCGAUGUCAUAUAUAUAGGGGCCCACUUCUAGAGGAAUUUUAAUUUUUCCCAUAACUUCUCGUCUUUUCCCAUCGAACGCUCUUACUGUAGAGUGACAAGGCCUUAGAUGAGAUAAAUCAAUUGGAAUUAUAGAAAUCGUAGCCAAAGGCAUGACAUUGAGUGUCGACCCAUUAUCAAUGAGUACAUUCGGUAUUAUAUAACCCUUGCAACGGGUUGUGAUAUACAAUACUUUUACGGAGCCCCUACCAUUUGGCGGUAUUUCGUCAUCACUGAAAGAAAUAAAAUUGUCCGCAUUCAGGUUAUUCACCCACCUAUCAAGCUUUUCGACAGAUAUAUUACUUGCCACGUAAGCUUGAUUUAACACUUUCAGCAAAGCAUUCCGAUAUGGUUCAGAAUUCAACAGUAGGGAUAAUACCAAGAUUCGUGCCAAUUGUUUGCUUAACUGUUCCACGAUGUUAUAUUCACUAUGCUUAAUGAACUUCAAGAAUUCAUGUGCUUCCUCUUCAUUCACAAGCCUUUUAACUUCUUGUUCGGAUGGAGUUUCGAGUUCUACCUCGGCCUCAUGCAUCGGUGCCUUUCCUUUCUGGUUUAAGUCACUCAUCUUUUUCAUUGGUUCAACCAUUUUAGAAUAACAUCUCCCGUUGCGAGUAAAAUUUCCUACUUCACCAACACUUCCAGUCAUGGCUUUGGAUUUUUCACCUUCAGGUGUGAUAAUGUUGACAUCGUAUUUCCAUGGUACUGCAUUGUUACCUUUGUAAGGGAAUGGAGAUAGUACUUCAAUUAUCAUUUUCGGUUUCACUUGUUCUUUUUUUACAUCGUAAUAAAUCACCAAUGGUCGAUCGGUGCUAUAAGGGAAACUUGAUGAUUGAUUGUCAGAAGCGCAUACUUCUCCCUCAUCGGCAUCUUUGUUAAAGAUCCCAAUCUCCUUGUUGUCCAUUAUGUCUUGAAGUAACUUUCUAAAUUCUUUACAAGACUGAAUGUCAUGCCCUUCAAUACCAUGGAAGUCACAAAAACAUUGACUUUUUAUAUUUCCUUCUUUAAAAAUUCUGUAGGGGCGACAGAACAGUCCCUUUUCAACCAUCACCUUCCAUAUCUUCUGUAAAGGUGCCUUUAUUUCAGAAACGCAGUUGUUGGUUCGCCACUUGUCUUCCUUAGUCACCGCGCUCACAUUCCCUUCAAUAUGGUUAGGGAGUGAAUUUCCAGUUGUAUUUCUAGUACCAUCAAAUCGUAAGAUGCCUGCAUCAAUGAGGCCUUAAACCCUCCUUUUAAAUGCUAGACAAUUUUCUGUAGAAUGCCCCUGGUUUCCGGCGUGGUACAUGCAACUGCAUUAGGAUCGUACUAUUUUGGGUAUGAAGGCUUCAAGGGUGCCAUAUAAUGUAGGGAUAUUAAUUGUUUUUCAAAUAGUUUUGGGUACAGCUCUCCGUAUGACACGAGAAUUGGGGUGAACUAGGGUUUUUCAAGAUUGGAUCUUGUCGGUCUUUGUUCAUCUUUAGGUUGGCUUUGAGCUGGCAUGGUAUUCUGUGGGAACUUAGUGACUGGUCUUUGGUUAUUUGUGGCGUAGAUGGGGUAAGAAGGGUAAUGAGGUGGUGCUUGAUAGUAAGGGCUUUGAGGAUGAUAAUAGAAGUUUGGAGGUGGGCGAUAUCGAGGUCGUAACUGGGUUGGAUACGGAUUAGCAGUGUAGUGAUUCUUAUUUCCCACCAUAUAGGCUCCUGCCUCUUUUUUCUUUACAGGUGUUUCCCUUUUCGAGCUCUCGGAACCUUCCAUCCUUCCACUUUUGAUGGCAUUUUCUAUAAGUUCCCUAGAUAUUACAAUAUCUGCGAAGUCUUUCGUGGCACUUCCUACCAACUUAUCAUAAAACGGUGCUUUCAAAGUGUUGAUGAAGAGGACCAUUAUUUCAGUUUUGGUCAAUGGAGGUUCUACUUGGGCUAAGAUAUCCCUCCAUCUUUGCGCGUAUUGCCUAAAAGUCUCUGUUGGCUUCUUUUCCAUCAUCUACAGAGUUAGUCGAUCAGAUACCAUGUCAGAUACAUGCUUGUAUUGUUCGUAAAAUACUGAUGCCAAGUCUUUCCAUAAUCGGAUCCUUUCUCUACUAAGUUGAUUAUACCAUCAAAGGGCCGAUCCGACCAAGCUGUCUUGGAAAUAGUGUAUUAGCAAUUUAUCUUCAUUCACAUAACCAGUCAUCUUCCGGUAAAACAUGAUAAGAUGCGCUUUUGGACAUCCCAUGCCAUCGUAUUUUUCGAAAUCUGGUACUUUGAAUUUCGAAGGAAGAACCAGAUCGGGCACCAAACUGAGCUCUUUGGCACUCAAUGCAGAGAAGGCUUCAGUACCUUCUAUUGCUUUGAGUCUUUCUUCCAAACUCCUAUACUUAUCCUGAACAUCAUGAUCAUCCAUUUUCAACCUAGCUAUUUCUAACGGGUCAUCCAAAUCUGAAACAUUGGGAGCUGCAGGAUUAGCUUCGGGGUUCGAUACGAAUAUACCUUGCCCUAGAUGAGCAGGGGGUACGGGUCGUUGCUCCACGCUUGUAGGUUCUCCUUGAGGACGUUCUCUUUGCAUUACAUGUGCUUGAGGUGGAGUGAAUCCUGGGGGAUAGAGUGGAUCCUGAUCAUGAUUAGCUCUUGGCUGGGGCUCCAUAGUGUCAGGCCUCUGCAUAGGUCCCUUUCCUUUGACCAAAGCUGUCAUCAUCUCCAUCAUUUUGGCCAUCUGACCUCUUUACUCGAGCGAUUCCUCUCGAGAUCUUAACAUCAAAUCUCUUGCUUCCUGUUGUGACUUGGUCAACUGCUCUUGCAAUUCUUUUUGGGCCCUUUCCAUCCUUUCAAUUCUUUCAUUGAACUCGGCUUCCAUAAUUCUAGCUUUUCGACGCAUCCUAUAAGAAUGGCGUAUUUCCAGACUUGUAGUGUCGCAACUGCGGAUUAUAUGGUUUUAGCCUCAGUGAAUGAUUAUGGUGAUAUGUACAUGCAAUGAAUGAAUGAAUGAAUGAAUGAAUGAAUGACAAAUAAAUGUUGAAUAAACGAUGAAUGAAUGUUAGUCAUGAAUAAAUAUGCAAGAAUUUGGUGUUAAUUUCAAGAUAGCCCCAUACUUAGGCAUUUCAUUUAUCAAAAGAGUCUAUUACAAAAUGUUUCACCAUUUUUUUUUAUUCAACAGUUACACAAAUUUCCUAGCCACAUUGCCUUGUUUCUUCACUCGCUCUAAGAACUCUGACAUGCUUGAUCUUUGGCUCAGAGGAAAUUGGCAACUGAGAGCUUCAGCUUCAUCUGAUAAUUGCACAACUUGUAUAGCUGCCUUGCGAAUUUCAUUGAUCAAAAAGCCGAGUUGUAUUUCUUUUUCUUGGAGAGCUCUUUCAUAAGUGCUAGUGUCUCUGUUGUACUGAUCAUUCUUUUCUUCUAGAGCUUUUAGAAGAGUAUCUAACUGUUACUGACGAGAUUGCAGCAUAUUUUCUAGAUCUCGUAUUUUCCUUCUUAACUCUUGACGUUCGGACUGACUAGUCACAAAUUCUGCGGUCACCGUUUCAUACUCAGCAUUCUUUUUUCUUAAUUCUAUCAUAGUACGCGCAGCUAUUUCUUCUUCUUUCUUUGUUUGCCCUUUUCAGAAUGCCAUCCCUCCUUUGAUGCUGCUAAUUUCUUCCUUCCAUUCUGCUGACGAUUUGCCAAACCCACUAUUUUUUAUAGUGCUUCUUAAUUUCUUAUUUUUCAAAUAAAGGUCCCUUAAGUCAUUUCUCACGAUCUCAGCUUCUCUUUGGAUUUUCAAGGUUUGGGACUUUUCAAUCUGAACAUCGAUCUUUAGCUAGUAGUUUUCCUCUUGAAGAGAACUGAUAUCCCGUAACAACUUAGCAUUUUCACUUUCAAAUUCGUGUCUUGUUACUUCCAGCUCAGAUGGCAUUUCUUCUGAGAAAAGAUUCUGGAAAGUGUUUUUCGUCAAUGAGACUUGUUGACUAUUCACUCGUCGUUUUCUUCAUAUGUCAUAAUCUUGAGUGAUAGUAUCAGCAUAGAGAGCUAACUCCAUUAGGUGAAUUUCUUUCCAAGCCUUUGCAGUAUCCCGGACCCUUUUCAUGUAACCUUCACCUGUAAAGGCAAACUCUGACUGUGCCAACCCUCCGGUAGCAGGUAUGAACUGUCGUGAAGCAAACUGCCUUUGAACCAUUAACGGAGCGUAUCCAAUUCCUCCCCAUAGUCCUAGUAAAGGCACCUAAUCUUGGCUUCCUCAUUUGCAUAAUAGAACUGAAGGACAGAUCCAUGGUGCUCUCCAGGUUAUAUCUUCAGUGCAAACAUUCUAAAAAAUCGAAACCCAGUACUGCUCGGUGACAUCUUUCGACCAAUCUUUCUAAAAGUAAGCCUUUAAUGGGGUGAAUGUUUUUGAGAACAUAUGGAAAGGUAUACGCUCUACUUUCCAGAAAUGGCUCAGAAUCCGGACAUUAAGCAAUUGCACGCAUCCGGUAAAACAUCCUUCCCCUUUUCUCUUACAACUACUCAGGGAUCUAAAAGUCUCAGCCAAGAUAGUUGGGACGGGGUUGAUCCCUUGCCCCAACCUUUCGAAGAAAUCCACUACCGCGACUUCUACAUGUCCCAAAACCUUUGAGAAGACGAUCAAUCCGUAAAUGGCCAAAGCAAACAGAUCAAUUCUCUUCGCAACAUCUGGAUGGUUUUGAACUAAGUCUCGCAGAGAAAACCACGGAACACAACUGACUUCAAUCUUUUUCUUUAUCUAUUUUUCAGCACAUAUAUCGGUUAUUCCGGUCAACCUCACUAGCUUUUUCUUGAAGGUCAUUGGCUUAGGCUCUUUCACAUAUAUCUUGUUGAAUUGUACAUUGUCAACACGAAGCAAAGUAGUAUAUUCUUCUAUGGUCGGAGUCAUAGCUUCAUGAUUGAAAGUGAAACAUCGGUACGCUGGGUCCCAGAAUCGAAUCAUGGCUUGAAUUAACUGUUCGUCUACAUUGACGGUGAACAAGUGAGCUAUAUCCCCGUACUUUUCAGUGAAAAUCCCCCUAGUAUCUGAGUCUCACUGUUUCCAAAUCUGAGUCAAGUCUUCGAGGUUAUUCUGACGAACGUUCGAAGUUACAUUUUCGGGAAGAUUGGAGAUACAUCCUUCCGUUAAACUGUCCCCUUUUACUUUCUGGGUUUUCAAAGACCAAUCUCGAACCACGACAUUUUUCUCGGUUACUUGCGUAAUUGACUCCUCCAUCAAAAACCUAUUUUUGGCAACCAAUCUCUAAUCAACACAUUCCUAAUCAAGAUGCCUACGAUGCGUGAUGAAAAAUAAAAAUAAAGACAAACAACCUUGGUUAGUAAUCACAACAAAUAUAAACUGAGAAAAACUAUGGAAACUUUAACAAAUUAAGCUAUCCGAUUCAAUUCUUUUGUAUAAACAGUGUAAAUGUAAAGGAAAUGAAAGGCAAGAGGCAUUUCUCCUGUGUACUUAUUUUGGUGAUUAUUAACGGACGGAGGUUCGGCAAGACUCUAGUUAGGUGGCUCGUAUGCUUCACUAUAUGCGGUUUCGGUUCAAGACAGGUACUCGAAUUGUUUGCACUAUCGUCUACUAAGACUAAUACGAAGCCUCAAUCGUAGCCCAUCACAGGCUCACGAGUUCAAUUCGAGGGAUUACAUUCACUUAUGCCUAUGCGGAGGGAUAAGUUAACUCACGAAAGCAUAAGUCAUAUGUAACCCGAAAGUAUUCACUAGCUUGUGCGGAGGGACGAGUUAACUUACGAAAGCAUAGCGUUUACUUCCACUUAAGCGGACGGAGCCAGGGAAGAGAGCUCAUGUUAUGCAAAAAUGCAAGUGCUCGGUGUGUGGAGAGAAACUCACAAACCUUUUUGUUUUUAUUUAAAACUAAAAGAAGCUAAAACUAUAAAGACUUAGAGCUGAAAGGCAAAAGGCUAAAACAAGUUAGAAAAACAUAUUUACAACAUGAUGCAAAUGCAUGAUUUUUUGAAAACAAAAUUUUGAGGAUCAUGACUAAUUAUUAAUUUGAACAAGGAAAUUUGAAAAUUUUGACAACACGCGUUUAAUUGGACUCGACUCUCAAAAAUAAGUCCCCAGCGAAGUCGCCAGCUGUAGCGACGUAAAAAUUUUGCUUUGGUCGUUAAUUGAGGCGAUUUCUUAAAAAUUUGAAAACCAACUUUCGAUUUUAUAAACAAGGGAGUUGUCACUGAUCUUUUUCUAGGUGUGAUCAGACACCUAAUGAAUCAUCUUUUUAGAGAAGAAAAUCUAUUCUUGAACAAAAUGAAGGUCGAAUUUAGGUCUACGUCAAAAACCAAAGUAAAGUUGGGUUCGGGAGUCGGUUACGUACGAGGAAGGUAUUAGCACCCUCGCGACGCCCGAAAUUGGUAUCUUUAUUAAACAGGUGUUGUCUUGAUUUUCAAAAAUACGAAUUCAAUUUGACAUUUAAUUGCGAUCCGAUUGAAAAAUGAGAAUUUUUAGUUUUCGAUUUUUUUUUAGAAGAGGUGUCCCGUUUUUAACACGAGCCGACGAAUUUCACCCAACAUAGCGAUGAAAUCGAUGACUUAAUGUUAAAUCGGUUCAUUGCCUUAUUUCUUGAAAUUAGUAAAAAUAAAAAUGGAUAAAAAUCUUUAAAGUAGUAAACAGCAAAAUGAUAUAAAAUGGGCGGGAAACGAAAAAAUAAGAGAGUUAGAAAUACAUCGAAGCAAAUAAUAAAUACGACAAUAAUAUUAAAAACAAUGACAAUAUAUGCGAUAUUAAACAUGAUAAUAAUAGUAUUAAACACAAAAUAGAGACGAUCAUAUAUAUAAACAUAUAAUAAUAAUGAGUGAAGUGACGUAAACAUACUAUUAAAAAUACUAAUAGUGCUAUAUAUAUAUAUUAAAGUAUAUACGUAAUAAUAGGAAUGAAAAGUGUAUACAUAAUAAUACUAAAUAUAUAUAUACAUAAUAUAUGUACACAUAAUAUAUAUAAAAUGAACAUAUUAGAAAUACUAAUAACAUAAAAAAUAUAUAUAUUAGUAAUACUACAUAAAUAUGUACAUAUAUAUUAAAAUAACUACAUAAUAAUAUUAAAAGUAUAUACAUAAAAUAGUGUUAAAAAUACAUACAUAAUAUAGUUGUUAAAAUAUAUAUCUACAUAUUAGAAAUAAUAAUAAUGUUACAAAACAAUUAUUAAUAAUACUGCAUAAACAUAUACAUAUAUAUAUGUUAAAGAUAUAUACAUAUAUAAUAAACAUAUAAUAAUAAUAAUAAUAAUAAUAAUAAUAAGAUGUAUGUACACCAAAUAACACAUAAUAAUAUUAAAAUAAAAUAAUAAGUGACAAUAGUGAAAAUAGUAGGUAUAAUAAUAAAUAUAACGAUAUAUGAAAAUAAUACUAUGCAUGAAAAGUAUAUAUACCCAUAUAAUAAGAUAUAUGUACUAAUAUUAAUAAUAAAUAUAAUAGGGAUAAAAUAGAUAUAAUAAUAUAUACAUAAUAUGGUAUUAAAAAUAUAUAUAUGUCACAUAGUAUUCAAGAAUAUGCACAUGAGAUGAUAUAAAAAUAUAUACAUAAUAUAAUAAAAUAUAUGAAUAAUAUGAUAUUAAAAAAUAUAUACAAAAUAUAUAAAAAAUAUAAUAUUAAAAAAAUAAUAAUAAUAUAAAUAAUAUAAGAGUAUUAAAAUAAAUAAAUAAAUAUGGAAGGAAUAAGUAAAAAUAAUAUACAUAAUAAUAUAAUAAGAAAAUAAUAUAUUUAUAAUAAAGUACUUAAAAAUAUUUACAUUUAUAUAUGUAUAAUAAUGAUAAAAAAUAAUAAUAAUAGUGAAAAUAAUAAAUAUAAUAAUAAAUAUAAUAAUAGAAAAAGAUAAUACUAUGUAAAAAGUAUAUAUAUACAUAUAUAAUAAAAUAUAUACUAAUAUUAAUAAUAAUUAUAAUAGAGGUAAAAGUAGAUAUAAUAAUAUAAAUAAUACGUACAUGAAAAGUAAUAAUAAAUAAUAAUAAAAUAAAAGAAAAUAUGAUAAAAUAAUAGAGUAUAAAAUAAUAAUAAUAUUUACAAUAAAAGAAAAUAAAAAGAGUGUAUUUAAAAGUAUAUACGUAGUAUUAUUGAAACUACUAUUAAAAAUUAAUAAUAAUAAUAAUAAUAAUGAUAAUAAUAAUAUAAUAAUAGUAACUAUAGUAAUAAUAUAUUGAUAAAAUAAAAAAUAAUAGUGAUAAUAAGAAUAUUAAUAAUAAUAGUCAUAAGGAUAAUAUAAAUAAUAUUAAAAAUAAAAUAAAAUAGCAAAGAUAAUAUAAAAAUCAACUUAAAUUUAAAAAAGGACUAAAUUCAAAACAAAAACAAAGUUUUGGGGCCAAAAAAGAAAUAAAGGGAAAGGGAUUAAAUUGCAUGCGCGAAAAAUAGUACAGGGACCAAUGAUGCAAAAAAUCCAUUCGGCCUAAAACGCACAGCAGCAGAGAGACCGAAUUACAAAGCACAACAAAUUUCGGGUCAAAAUUUAAAACAACUAAAAACUUAAUUGCAUAAUAGAAAAAAAGCGGAUGGGCUAAAUGCGCAAAUAGCCCCUCCAAUGAAAACACGCGGAUCAUGAAGUUGGAGCGGGUCGGAUUCGGGUCAGCCAAGUCAAAACGACGUCGUUUUAAGGCUUAUGAGCUUAGGCCAAAACGACGCCGUUUUGAUCUCUUAUAAAAAUUAAAAUUUUUACAAAAAAUCUUCAUUCUUUCAUUUCACUUAAAAAAAACUAAAGCCCCUAAAAAUUUUCUCUCAACUAGCCUUCUGUAGGAGGAAUUUCGGCGACUUCUCCGGCGUCGUCCGUCACCGUCGGCCACGCACACGAUGGUCGGAGCUCCAAAAACGGUAAUUUUCUUCCCUUUUUCUUAGAUAUUAUUGAUAUACAUAUAUAUAAGACAGUUUUUUUUAAGAAAAUAUAAAAAAAAUAUAGGUAUAUAUAUAUAAUUUCGAAUAAGAAAUAUAAGGAAAGAAAUGAAAAAUUUAUAACCUUCAAUAGUUGAAUCAAUCUCCUCUGUUCUUUAUUAUUUCAAAAACUGCCCUUUUCUGCAUAUGCUUGAAUCUUUUUGUAUUUUUGUCAGUAAAAAAAUCCAAUACAAGUGAUUUUGUGGCUUUUUAUAGCCAUUUUUGCAACUUUUUUUUUUAAUCCUUCUAUCACUUCUGUUGCAGGUGGAUGAGGUCAACGGUGGCAGACUUGGUGGAGGCAGGUGGAGCGGGGGUAUGGUGGAUGGGACAGAGGCGGCGGCUAGGGGGGCUAGGGUUUCUAAUUUCUGAAAAUAAGUUCUGGGCUAAUGUUAGUGGGGCUAGGGUUUCUAAUUUCUGAAAAUAAGUUCUGGGCUGAUGUUAGUGGGCUAGGGUUUGUUUAAUUGGGUUUGGGUUUAAUAGGUCUUUAUAUGGGUUGGGGUAGGUUUAGGUUAAAAUGGGCCUGGGAUUUGAAUUGGGUUAAAUUUGGGUUUGGUCUUGGGUUUAUUUUUUAGUUGUAAUAGUUUAUUUUUGUAAAAGGCCCGGGUUAAUUUGGGCUUCUACACAUACGAAUGGAGCAUUCUUACGUAACAGCUUCGUUAAAGGUAAUGCAAUCAGAUAAAACCCUUUGACGAACCUUCGGUAGUACCCAGAUAAACCAAAGAAGCUACGAAGUUCGAACAUGUUUUUUGGCUGUUUCCACUCAGCAACAGCUUUAAUUUUCUUAGGAUCAACUCGAAUCCCUUCCGCUGUCACCACAUGACCCAAAAAGGCGACCUCCUGCAACCAAAUCUCACACUUGCUGAACUUAGCAUACAACUGUUUUCCUCGGAGAGUCUGAAGUACAAUACGGAGAUGACCAUUAUGCUCAGUUUCAAUUUUAGAGUAGAUCAAAAUAUCAUCGAUAAAAACCACUACAAAUUGAUCCAAAUACGGUUGAAACACCUGAUUCAUUAACUCUAUAAAAGUCACCGGGGUAUUCGUUCAUCCGAAAGGCAUUACUAAAAACUCAUAAUGUCCAUAACGAGUUUUGGAAGCAGUUUUUUACACAUCAGUCUCUUUGACCUUGAGCUGAUGGUAACCCGAGCGUAGGUCAAUUUUAGAAAAGAUAGACGCUUCCCGAAACUGGUCAAACAAGUCAUCAUUCCUUGGUAAUGGAUACUUAUUCUUGAUUGUCAACUUGUUCAACUGCCUAUAGUUAAUACGCAUCCUUACCGACCCAUCCUUCUUCUUAACGAAUAAUACCGGUGCCCCCCACUAAGACACACUCGUUCGAAUAAAUCCUCUAUCAAAGAGUUCCUGAAGCUGUACUUUUAAUUCAGUCAGUUCGUUUGGUGCCAUACGAUAGGGAGUAAUGGACACUGAAGCAGUACUUGGUAACAGAUCAAUUCCAAACUCCACAUUUCUAUCCAGAGGUACUCUAGGAAAUUCCUCAAGAAAGACAUUUGGGAAUUCUCUUACGGUACGGAUAUCUCCAACUAAUAACUUUUUGGAAGCAAAUUUGAUACAUAAGCUAGGAUGUCGUACACCCCUUUCGGACUAAUUUGUUUCCUACUAGAGCUGAGAUUACGUUAGUGAAGUAAUCUCGACGCUCUCCAACCAUUACCACCUCAUCAUUUUCAGUCGGUCUCAGUGUAACUCUUUUGGUUGCACAGUCUAAACUGACCCAAUAUUCAACGAGCCGAUCCAUUCCAAGAAUUAAAUUAACCUCGUUAAAGGGAAAUUCUAUUAAAUCAGCUGGAAAUAUCAUACCCUGAAGCUCUAGGGGUACUCGUCUAUAUACCCUACCAACUCGAAUUAACUAACCCAACGGACUAAUCAUAAAAAACUCUCUAGCAGUAUUCUCAGCAGUUAAAAACCCAGAGUUACAGAAACAACACUAGUUAUGUAUGAAUGAGUAGAGCCAAUAUCAAUGAGAGUAUAAUAUGGUACAAAAUGGAUAAAGAAGGUACGUGCAAUGACAUCAGCAUUAUCGCUUUUCUCGUGAUGUCUAGACGCAUAAACUAAUGCCAGCUGACGAGUCUCAGCCUAACCAGCACCUCUACUCGGUGUUAACUGUCCUCUCCCAGCUCCGUUACCACCACCCCUACCAGUACCACGACAUCUGAAAGGUUGUUUAGUCUCUCUCAGAGAUCGAACAGAGUUUGGGGCUGAAGUCUGUACCACACUUGGCACUGAAUUAGGUCAACGGGGACAAUCCCUAACUCGAUGCUCCAUCGAACCACAACAGAGGCACGCUCUUAAUUUCCUCCAACAUUUGCCUUGGUGGCGCUUCCUACAAUCAGUACACUACUGAAUAUCAAUCACUACAACUGGUGUCUCAACUCUCAGGGGCAUGUCAGACCACACUCGCUUCUUAGGGUGUUGAGCAGAACUAGAGGGACCCGAAUCCCUCUUAACUUUAUUCUGAUCCUUCUCACGGUCCCGCAGUUCAUGCUCAAUGCACUUCACUUCUUUCACUAUUUUCGCUUUAUGAACCAAAAUCGCAAAUACUAGCUCCUUCUGAGAAGCUAUCAAAACCCGCAGUUCAUAUCUCAAGCCUUCUUCGAACCUUACACACUUGUCAUAGUUAGAUGCUACCAAAGUCCAUGCAUAUUUUCCCAAUCGCAAUUAUACUCAGCCAUAGAUCGGUCACCCUGAACUAGGCUCAUAAACUCGCAUCGAUGAGCCUCAACAUAGCUUGCCCCUACAUACUUACCUUUGAAGGCAUUCUUGAAAUAGUCUCAGUUCACUUGCUCAAGCUGAGCACCAUGCUCAAUGGUAAACCACCACUGAUAAGCUUCGUCUUGGAGUAGAGACACUGCGCCCCUCAAUUUUUGAGUAGGAGUGCAGUCAAGAUCUAUCAUAAUACAUUUGGUAGCCUCGAGCCAAUACUCAGCAACAGUAGAGUGAUACUACCAAGCCCCGAGACUCAUCAAGGGCUGACAAAGAACCUUUGGGGCUGCCCUUUGGUCCGAUAACUCGACCUCGUCCAAAAGAUUCAAAGAUGCUGUUUCGACUUUAGCUAGUCGAGUAUGGAGAGAGAAUGUUGCUAGGCUCAUUGAACGAGCAUGGACAAGUCACCCGAGCAAGCCUUGCAACCUUCUAAAGCCCAUCUUGUUCAUUCAUAGACCAUUGAGCUCAACUCCAGCUCGUUUUUAACUUAGCAAUAUUUUGUUGCUGAAAAUAAGGAUUUCAAUCCAUUUUAGCUAUUUUAGUUUGUUUCUUUAGAUAUGUCAUAGUUUGAACAUUAUUAAUAUGAGUCUUUAAUUAUGUCAUAGUUUGAACAUCAUUAAUAUGUAUUCUGCAUUUAAUAAAGUCAUGCAUUGUGUAACUUUCAUGUUAGUUAAGUGUGUAUCAUUAGAUUAAGUCAUGCAUUAAGUAACUUAUUUGUUCAUUUAGUUUACAUCUUAAUUAAAUUAUGCAUUUAAACAUCUUAUUUGUUUGUAUUAGAGUGUUAUUUAAUUUGGCUGUUGCUUUUUUAUACGUUAUAGUGUGUUUAAUUUUUCUUAAAUAAAAUUAAUUAUGUGUUCAAUUUUUGUUGUAGGAAAGUUCAAAAGGCUGGACACAUAUUUUAAAGCUACAAUAGGGUUGUUCAUUUGCCAAGAAGAAUCAAAUACUUUCACAUUUAAACGGCUGUUCAAUUUUGGCAUAAAAGAGUGUGCAUUUGGUCACUUAAUUGCUGGUGCAUAAAGGGAACGUUUUUGUUGGAUAUUGAAGCACUAAAGCUCAUUAUGGUGGCUUUUCAAAUGGACCAAGAGUAUCUCUUCAAGUCUAAUCAAUUUUUGGAGUCUUUUUCCUUCAUUAUGAUACCAUUAAAAGAGGAAGUUACACGAGCUUUAUGAUUCGAUUACAAGGGAGUUAAAAUGACAUCAACUAAGCACAAUAAGAACACAUUAAGUCUUCAUUAAUUGAUAGAGUCAUGCUUUUUCAUCUAUACCAUGAUCAAAUGAAAAGACAUGACCAUUGGAUUUCCUACAUGAGAUAAAUAUGAAAUUAAGGCUUGUAAUAACCUUAGUUAAUUGCUGAAGGUGAAAGCUCACAAAUAGGUGUUCGAAUAGUCAUAAUAGCGCCUAUAAAUAGAUUGUAAAAUGAUAUUAUUUUGGUUAAGAAAACUUUUGAUACUUUUAUGAUUUUUUACAUCUUUGUGAGUUUACUUCAACUCUAAUUGUUUUUCUAAGACUCAAGUUGACUUCUCUAGCAUUGCUAGUGGCAUCCAACUUGUUUUCUUUGUGAACUUAUCAUUCUUUGAGUGUGGCAUUCAACCCGGAUGCCUUUGGUUCCUAUCUCCUUAUAGAUAGUGGGUUAAGGUCCUUUUUAACCAUCAACCUUUCCACCUUAAAAGUCAAUAUAAGAUUCCGGUCAAUACUCCUUAUAGUAUUGGUUCUUUCUUGGACCUUAAGCCUUUUUCCAUCCAUCCGAAUUAUUCCUAUCAAAAUUAUCAUUUUUUUCUUUAUUUAACCGAAAUAUUCACUUGGACUAUUCCAAAACACUUAAAAACCAUUUUUUCUUUAGCCUACACUCAACCGAAUUCACUUAACUCUAAAUUGAACGAAACUUCUCUAUUUUACGAUCAGGCAAUACUACGACUCAAAAUCAACUCACAAGACGAGAUCGUAUCAAGGAGUGACUCUUAUGACGCCCCUAAACAUUUCAGCACCAUUCGACCAGAGUCGUUCAGUAAUCGAACCUCAGCCUCCUAAUCCCAGAUGGGUCCCAGUGACCCUCUGAAGAGCCUAAAUCAUGGCCUGGGACAGUGCGUCAUCCCCAGCCGUAGGAGUCUAAGACUCCGCUUCUGCAGUGGGAGUACCAACUUUAUUUUUGGUCUCUAGAUUAGGCAUGCUACCCAUAGAGGAUGACUCGGCUCGAGCUCCUCUCCAAUUUCCUCGAUGGCCCCGUAUACCCCGUCCACGACAACCAUGCGAACUCAUAUUGCAAUCUAACGACAAUUUCAGAAUACAUAGAUCAGUUCACACAUCCAGGAAAAUGAUUUCACCAGUUUACACCAAGCAAUAUACCAAUAACAGUUAGGUAUCAUAAUUUUACAACAGAACAAAAAUACUUACUGGGUCAGCGUCGGAGGCUCAGUCGUUCCCUAAUGUUUCAAUGUUUCUGUAUUAGUUCAGUUACUAAUUGUUACUAGCCACAGUUCUUACACAUUAAGAGCCUAAACACAUUCCAAGUGUUGACAAACCUGGCUUUGAUACCACUAAAUGUAACACCCUAAACCCGGCCUAGACGUCCAAACCAAGUUAGAGAGUUACAUCAACCGUUCUAAAAGCCAUACCACCAUAACGCAAUCUAAUUAAACCAGUUGUCACAUAUUAUUCAUCACAAUAGUAAUUUAAAGACAUAAUUUCCAUAAAUCCAUAACAUCAUAAAACAAAUAUCCCUAAUAAUAAUGCUAGUAGAAUACGAAUAAGUGUCUAACUAAGCUUCUGCGACACCGACCUUAGCAAGACUGAUUACUACCUCAAACCCGAACAAGAAUAGGGUGAGUUAUGAACUCAAUGCGUAAAAAUGAAUGUAAUUCAACAACAGUGACUUAUGGAGGAUUUCCAGUUCAGAGAUUCAGUUCAUCCUAGAAGCAUGUUUGAUCUAGGUUUAAAAUAGAGGUAUUACAUAUGUAUACAUGUAUUAUUCUAGUUCAGAUAUAGUUCAGAUCAGAUUCGAAUGCAUUGUUCCUAUUUCCAUUCUUUACACACCAACUUCUGCCAUCCCAACACACCAUUGUGGACAUUUAAUUCCCAUCCAUCACUACACACCUUUAAAGUGUUCAAUGACACUUUCACAGAAAGACAACUUAGCUCCUAGUUCAAUGUGCGACAAGCGUUAGAAUCAAAUUGAUACUUAUUGUGGCAUAGCCAUGAUUUCAGUACAGACUCCCCUUUUUCCUCACAAUCUCCCACCACAUGUUAAUGCAGAAUAUAAUAGCCUGUAACACAUGUUUAGCCAUUUUGAUAAAAUACAUAAUUAAUAAAAUAGUUUAAUAACAGAGUGGUGUUACAGUGCAUAUUCAAGUAUGUGAUUCACAUAUCAGUCUCAUGUAAGCAAAUUCAGUUGUUCGUAAAUCGAGGAAACCAAUAUCAGAGUUUAGCACCCUUCUCGGCCUCAAAAAUAGUUUUUGGAUCCAAAAUCCUGCCACACGACCUAGGCACAUGCCCGUGUGCCUUGGUCAUGUGGUUUUUAAGCAUAAAUAGUGAGUUGCACUGCCUGGGAACAUAUCCGUGUCCUUGACCAUGUGGUUUUAUACUGCAAACAAUGAGUUACACGGCCUAGGCACACGAGUGGUUUUUACACCCUUAAUAGUGAGUUACACGGCCUAGGCAUACGCCCGUGUCCCUGGUCGUAUGAACCCUACACUAAAAUGGCCACACAUGGCCUAAACACACGCCCGUAUGGUCUCGUAAAAACCUUUAUCUGUCAACUCUUGAAACUGAGCUUUUAAUUCUUUCAAUUCAGUCGGAGCCAUUUUAUACGGAGUAAUAGAUAUCGGUGAAGUCCCCGGUACUAAGUCAAUACUAAACUCAACUUCUCUAAUCGGAGGUAACCCAGGCAACUCUUCUGGAAACACAUCCGGAUAUUCACAAACCAUUGGCACUAAUUCAGACAUCUUUGUAUUCAACACAUAAGCAAGAUAAGCUUCACAACUUUUCAUUACAUAUUUUUUGGCAGACAUCGAAGAAAUCAUAACAGGUAACUCACCCGACUUAUAUGAAUCAAUCUGAAGAGUUUCACCAUUUUCACAUUUCAGUUCAAUAAUCUUUCUUUUACAAUUCACUACAGCAUUAUGCAGUGCCAACUAAUCCAUACCCAAAAUAACAUCAAAUUCAUCAAAUGACAACAACAUUAAAUCAACCGGAAAAUAGUGACCUUGAAUCAUCAAGGGACAAUUCUUGCAAACUCUAUCAUGACAAUUCUUGCAAACUCUAUCAACUAAUACAUGUUUGCCUAAAGGGUUUGACACCCUAAUCACAAAUUCAGUAAACUCAACAGGCAAGCUCUUACUAGCUACCAAUUUUAUAUAAACAUAAGAAUGAGUCGAUCCAGGGUCAAUCAAUGCAACUACAUUAGUAUUAUAGAGAGAAAAAGUACCAAUGAUAACAUUGGGAGAUGUCACUUUUUCGUGAGCACGGAUGGUAUAGGCUCUAGCAGGCGCUCGAGCUUCGGAUCUCAUAGCUGAAUAUUUCAUCACACCUUUACUACUAGUUCCAUUUUCAUUAUUUCUCGGUGGCAUACCCCUAUUGGUAGUAUUACUCGGCCUUGCACUCUAAAAUUUUUCUUUUUCCGUAAUUUUAUGGCAAUCUCAGAUAAAAUGCUCUUGAGAACCACACUUGAAACAAGCCUGACCAUUUAUCCUACACUUGCCAAGAUGUCUUCUUCCACAAUGCUGACAUUCGGAUCUGUUAAGCCUUACAUUACCCACAUUUGCCAUUGACGUAUCUUGAGAUUUAAAACUCGAGUAUUGUUUCCCACGGUCUCUGUGAGAAUACCCAGCUGAUACAUUCGAACGAGAAUACAUUUCUUUAUAUUUCUUUGAUUGAGAUGAAAAUGACUCGUCAAUCUUUUCCUCAAAUCUCUAGCUUCACAAUCAACUUUCAUCUUCUCUUUAUUCAACUCUUCGGCCUUACAAGCUCGCUCAACUAACACCACAAAUUCUUUCAACUUUAAGAUCCCAACCAACACACGAAUAUCCUCUUUCAAUCCAUCCUCAAACUUCUUGCACAUGAUAGCCUUAGUGGAAACACACUCUCGAGCAUAUUUACUAAGUCUGACAAAUUCUCGCUCAUACUCUAUCACUGACAUUCUGCCCUGUUUCAGCUAAAGAAAUUCCUUACAUUUUUUAUCGAUGAACAGUUGACUAAUAUAUUUCUUUCGAAACUCCUCUUGAAAGAAAUCCCAGGUAAUUCUCUCUCUCGGUACCAUAGAUGCUAGCGUAUUCCACUAAUGAUAUGCAGAAGCUCUCAAAAGUAAGAUGGCACACUUUAAACAUUCAUUUGGUGUGCAAGACAACUCAUCAAAUACCCUAAUGGAAUUUUCGAGCCAAAACUCGGCUCUCUCGGGAUCAUCAUCCAUAUUAGCUCUGAUAUCUUCAACCCGUGCUUUUAGAUCUUAUCAACUGGGGGUUUGUUCAUUCUUACAAAUUCCAUACCUUGUGGAGCUAUGAGAACCAGUCGAGGAAUAGGUGAGGGUGGAGGAGGUUGGGUAUUCAGAUUUUUUUCGAACAAACUCUGUAUACCACUUGUUCAUCAUGUGGAGAAAGGUCUCCCUAUCCCCCUUCUCCUUGACUAACCGUAGGAGGUUUACUUUCAGACUACGCUGCCCUUUAAGCGGGAGCCAAUGCAUUACUUUCAAUGUCAUCAACCUGAGCUCAAUCAGGAUCCGUUUACUUUAUGAAAACACAAUUUAAAAUUGUCAGGAGCCAUCAUACUCUCAUAGUUCAAUUAUCGCAUGUAUAACUAGACUUUUACACAUGCUACGUUAGUCCAAGAAUCGACUAAACUGUAGCUCUGAUACCACUAAAUAUAACACCCCUUACUCGUAUUCAACUUCAUAACCGAGUACGAGGCAUUAUCGGACUUAAACACAAGCAAACAUACUUUUUCAAUCCAUAAAUUUUUGUCCAAAUUAAACCUUUUACACUCAAUCAUAAAGUCCUUAAUAAGAGCCUACAAGGCCCAAAACAUGGUUUGGGAGUGGUUUGGGACUAAACCGAGAACUUUAGAAAAUUUUACAACACUUAAAAAAAUUUUCCACUUAGAAAAUUUUUCCACUAAACAAUGGUCACACACUCGUGUGGGCAGGUCGUGUGGUCUCACACACCCGUGUCCCAAACUCGUGUAACUCUCUGUUUUUCACCCAAGAACAAAUUGAAGACACAUGGCCAAGUCACACGCCCGUGUGUUAAGCCGUGUGGUCGAUUUAAUUAUUUUGAUUUUUCAUGAAAUAAGUGCAUACUUCACAUGCAUAGGAACACACGCCCGUGCCUGAGGCCGUGUCAUCCACACAGUUGAGAUACACGCCCGUGUCUCUGCCCGUGUGCUUAAUUCUGAGCAUUCUAUUUUGUAAAAAUUAGGGUGCAGGGGACACACGGCCUAAACACAUGCCCGUGGGACAAGCCGUGUGUCACACAUAGCCUAGACACACACUCGUGUGUCUACCCGUGUGGACAAAAAUAAGGCUAUUUACCAAGCCAUUUUGCCACCCUUUGAUGCACACACCUACACAACACAACAUAGCACCAAUUCGAGCAUAUACAUACAAUCAAAUCAGCUACAACCAAGACAUCAACACAACACUCACAUGCUACCAUCUAUCAUACACAAACAUCACAUACUCAUUAACUCAAACCAAGUAAAGAUCCAUAUCCAUGAAAGACAUCAUCAAAUAAAUCACUGAUACCAAUAGUAACCAAUUUCAAAUGGCCUUAUACAAAAUGAACUAUCAACCAAUAUGAGUCAACACAAUUGGCCAAUUCAAUUAUGACACAUAACAAAAUAACCAAGUCCCCUAUACAUGCCAUAACUCAAAAUGUUGAAAUCAUUGGUACCAAAAUAAUUGUUUAUAGUGUGAGUGGAUCUCUGACAGUCUCGAAUCCCCGAGCUAGCUUGGUGACACUAUAAGACAAGGGAAAGAAAAGGGGAGUAAGCUAUAUAUCUUAAUAAGUUCCUAUGCAAAUAAUAAUCAUCAUAUCCAACAUUUUAACAUACAAUUAACAUGAUAACAAUUUACAUAAAUAUUAUUAAGAUCUUAUAAUCAUAACUUACUCAAUCAUAACCUUACCGAGGGUUCCUCACAUAUCGAACUCAUUACGUAUGAGUUUUACGUACAUACCUGAGUCAUCUCAAAUUUGGAUUUGCCCGCAAUUCAUCUUUGACAUACUCGUUAAAUUACCCGUUAAACCACUUGGAAUAUUAAAGGAUUAUAACUGUCCAAUUUCAGUGAAAUCGGAACAGUGGUUUCAUGACCACAACCCGAGCUAAAAAGAAAAUUUUAUUUUAAUAUUAUGGCAUGGUCUAUAUUAUGAUGGAAAAGUGGCAUGAAAAUUUUGAUAAGAAAAUUUUAUUGGUUUUGUAGUUAAUUGAUUAAAAAUGACCAAAUAAUAAUAAAAAAAGUGUAUUUUCGGGACUCUGUUCCAGUAAAUCGUAGUUAAUUAGGUUUUGAUUAGGUGAGUUUGACUUAAUUAGGAGUAAUUAUGAAAAAGUGCUAAAUUGCAUAAAGGGUAAAAAUUUAAUUAUAAAUUAAAGAAAGUUCAAAAGACCAAAUAGGCAAUUAUGCCAUUUUUAAAUGUAGAGGCAGUUUACAAUAAAAAAUAUCAAAGUUAUUUUAAUUAAAAAUAUAUAUUAUAUAUUAUAUUAACUUAAUCAAUAAGUAAUAUAUUAUUUUAUAUUAUUAUAUUAUUAUAUUAUUACAUUAUAUAUAUUAUAUUAUUAUAUAUAUGUAAAACAAAUGAAAAAGAAACAAAGAAACAGAGUAGGUUGAAACGAACAGGGAAGAAAGAAAGAAAGAAAAAGAAAAAGGAGAAAUUAGGGUUUAAGGAUUCAAAUUCAAUUUGAUCCAGAAAACUCAAAUACGAAGCUAGAUCGAGGAAAGGAAAAAGUCCUGGAUUAGUAGACUUUUGUUUACAAACAAGUAUCGAGGUAAGUUCCUGUAACUUAAUAUUGAUUCUUGAAAUGUUGGAUUGUAUGAUUAUGUGAUAUGAAUGUUAAUUGAAUAUUUAAAAUAAUGUGAUCCUAUGUUUGAUAUGACUUGAGAAAAGAAAUAAGUCCCGGUUGAAUAAAGGAAAUUCGAUGAAUUAUUGUAAAGGUGAUUCUGCAUAUGUUGCAGACAGGAUUUAACUUGGACGAGUAAUCCUGAUAAGUUUCUCGAGCAUUAUAAGGUAGAAGCAUAGUAAUUGGUAGUCGUAUAUAUUGUGAACUAUCGUAGCUCUUUAUGAGCAUCAAGGUAUAAAUAUAGUGAUUGGUAGCAAUUCUGCAUAAGUUCUGGGCUACCAUAGUUCUGUGUGAGCAUCGAUGUAUUGGUAGUAAUUCUGCAUAAGUUGUGGCCUAUCGUAAAUCUGUGUGAGCAUCGAAGUAUAUGAUUUACCCAAAUGACUUGAAAAGGUGGCUCAAGAGUUUUGUACACUUUAAGUGUACUAUACGAGAGUAUCCAUCGAUAUUCCAAUAAUUUCAAUAGGAAAAACUUAGAAAAUGGUUAAUUGGUUUGAAUAAAUUUCUUUUAAAAAUGUACAUGUGGUAUGGAAUUAUAAGCAAGUAUAAAUUAUGAUAUAGAGCUCAUCUAUGUGAUGAUAUUAUCUGUAAUUGCUUGACUAAAUUUUGAUGAUGAAGUUAUAUGUGAUAGGAUAAUGAUUUAUUUGCUUGAAUACAUGUAUGUUUGAUUAAAUUUAAUGGAAACACUUGGUAAGUUGGUUUCUAGUUUCAUGAACUUACUAAGCAUUAAAUACUUACUAGGUUUUAUUUUUUAUGUUUUAUAGUGCUCGGAAGCUCAGAAAGGUUGAAGAUAAGUCGAAGCAUCAUCACACUAUCAAUCUACUCAUUUUGGUAUUAAAAAAUGUUUUUAUUUUGUUAUAAUGGCAUGUAUAGGCUACUAGUACCAAUGUUAAUGAUGAAUUGGAUGAAUGUAAUCUAGCCAUUGGAAUGGCUAGUAAUGACUUGAUUUUGGUAUGUUUAUAAAGUAAAUUAUGGUUAUACAUGUAUGCUUGGUACAUUUUGGGGUAAUUAGAUUUAAACAUGUAUGUUAUGGAAAUGUAAUAUAUUAAUUAAGAUUUAAAGCAUACAUAUCAUGUUAAAUGUUUGAAAUUGGCUUAUAAAUAAUGCUUGAAUUGGAUGGUUGGUAUUAGGAAAGUUUUGUGCAGGUUUUGGAUGAAAUGGGUGAGAAAUAGGGCUUGAAAAAUAGCCUUAUUUUUUUCCACACGGGUGUGUGACUCCUAUAAGUAAGAAAAAAAUUUUGGAAGUUUGCGAAAAAAUUUCCUCGAGAUAUCGAUUAGUCCCGAAUCGAUUCUAAUGCAUGUUUUGGGCCUCAAGGGUCCAUUUAAGGGACGUUAUGACUAAUAUCGAGAAAUGAAUAGUGUUUGAAUCGAUUUACCUAAAAAUGUUUUGUAAACUCUGGUAAUGCCUCGUGAUCCUGUUCUGGUGACGGAUACGGAUUAGGGGUGUUACAAGGAUACUCAGGAAUCUCAUACAUACAGUAUCGUACCAAUGUCAUUUCCCAGAUAUGGUCUUACAUGUAAUCUCAUAUCAAUGCCAAUAGCCCAGCUAUGGUCUUACACAAAGUCUCGUACCGAUGCCAUAUCCCAAAAAUGGUCUUACAUGUAAAUAUCAGUAACCCUAAUGUCAUGACAUUUGUAUCUUAUCUAUUCCUAAGGUUCAAUGGGGAUUUCAAGCUUAUCGAAACUUUGUCGAAUACAUACAAGGGUAAAUUAAAAUUCAUACAAUAAUAAAACAUUUAAAACAUAAUUAAAACAAUGCAUUAUUUACAUAUGAACUUACCUCGGUACAAAAAUAGUAUAAAUGGGGCCUAAUCGUCAAACACUUUGUUUUUCCCCCGAUCUAAGUCCGAACCUCGUUUCUCUUGAUCUAUAAUAGAAUAUUUAACUCAUUUAUAUCCAAAUUGUUCAAUUCAGUCCAAAAUUUACAUUUUGGCAAAAUUACAUUUUUGCCCCCUAAACUUUGACAUUUUUACAUUUUGGUCCUUAGGUUCGUAAAAUGAAAUGGAUUCAAUUCCUUCGAUUCCCAAGCCUAGCCGAACCUCUUUCAUGCUUACAAAAGCCCAUAUUUUCCAUUCUUUUACAUUUUUACUACUCAUUUUAUAACUUUUUACAAAUAGGUCCCUUUUAUGUGUUUCAUCAAAAAUCACUUAGAAAAACUUGUUUAUUUAACAUUAAACUUGCAUUAUCUACCAUUAAACAUCAAAAUACACACAUGUAUAACAUGGUUCAAACCCUAUACCUUAAUCAUUUCUCAAAUUAGUGGUAGAAAUAGAUAGAUUGAGUGUCAACGACUUUAAAAAUGUAAAGAGCAUUAAAAACGAGACAAGAACACACUUACAAUCGAGCUUGAAAUUGGCCAAACCCUAGCUAUCUCUUCCUUAUAUUUUUCAGCACAAGGGGGAGAAGAUGGACAAGGUUUUUGGCUUGAUUUUUGCUUUUUAAUUCAUUUAUUUACCAAAUGACCAAAAUGCCCCUAACUUAAAACAUAAAAUUUCUCUUACCUCAUAUCCAUUUUUGUCCGCUAACUUAACAAAUGGUUUAAUUACCAUUUAAGGACCUUCAAUUUAAAGUUUCAUAGCAAUCAGACACCUCUAGCAUAUAGAACUCAAGUUUUGCAUUUUUUUGUAAUUUAGUCCUUUUAACUAAAUUGAGUGCUCAAACGUCAAAAUUUUUGAACAAAAUUUUCACAAAAUCAUUUCAUAAAACUUUAGACCAUAAAAAUAUAACAAAAAUAAGCUUUUUUGCAUCGAAUUUGUGGUCCCGAAACCACUAUUCCAAUUAAGCCCAAAAUUGGGUUAUUACAUCUAUAAUGUCAAACAUAAACUUUAAUUUAAUGUGCACUAUGACACUUAAAUUAUGUUAAUUUUGUGCAAUUGUAUAUAAUAAAUUAUGAUUUUGAUUUAAUUUAAUUUGGGUUUGAGGCUCGAGUUUUUUGGGCUGAGUCAUUAUGGGUUUUGAUUAUUUCACAUAUUAUGACAAUUCAACUGCUGUCUUUAUAGCUAAGAAUGACAAAAGUGGAAAUCGAAGUAAACAUAACGACAUUAAGUAUCUAGACAUAAAGGAACAUGUUAAAAAAAGAAAGUGGUCAUUGAGCACAUUAACACUGAGCAGAUAUUAGUUGAUUCUUUGACUAAAGGCAUGCCACCACCCAAAAUUUAAGGAUCACGUUGUCUCUGUGUGACUUGUUCCCACCUUGUAAAAUUUUAUUAUAAGAACGAUUAUAAAAAAAACUCUGUUAAAUUAUCUCUAAGUCAUUAUAAAUUUUUUAAUUAAAGAUAGGUAAAAUUAAUAGAAAAUAAAAAUAAAACAAAAACGUUGAUAAUAAGUUAAAAAUUAAUCCAAAUCAUUAUAAUUUUUUUAUUUAAAAAAUGAACUACAAUUAAAAUGAAAAAAAAACAUGCGGCGCUAUUUUGUUUUGGGGGCAUGAAUGGGGCAUUGUUUAAGGGCAAGGGAUUUCUAUUCACUGCUCCAAUGCCUAUAUAAACCUCAAUGCCAUGCUUUGUUUUCCCCACUCACAACUAUUCAGAUAAAGAACUUUGUUUCAUCUGCUUCACUUGUUUCAAAAUCUCUGAACAAAGAUGGCCUCUUUCAAUUGCUUUGCUUUAGCAUUCUUGAUGGCUUUGUCGAUCAUUUGCAAACUUUGAUGUUGGGGAAGAAGUUCAUCACCUUCUGCAGCAGCCUCAAACGCAAAGUUUUCCAUCUUUCCCUAAUCUCCCAACCCCAUUCCGACCAUCAUUCCCAUGGCCUGGGGCGCUUCCUCCAGUUCCUACCACAUUGCCAAUAGGACCGCCCCCUCUGCCAAGCAUUCCCUCUGUCCCCGCAAUCCCAACUGCAAUUCCCCCUAUUCCUUUCUCUUUUCAACCAUUUCCAUCUUUCCCUAAUCUCCCAAACCCUGGGGCGCUUCCUCCACUUCCUACCACAUUGCCAAGAGGACUGCCCCCUCUGCCAAGCAUUCCUUCAGUCCCCACAACCCCAACUACAGUUCCCU
This 55407-nucleotide long non-coding RNA is filed under the name Gossypium barbadense (sea-island cotton). RNAcentral describes it as "long non-coding RNA (GBAR_LNC012260)". Lineage: Eukaryota; Viridiplantae; Streptophyta; Magnoliopsida; Malvales; Malvaceae. The record is from RNAcentral.